Molecule: long non-coding RNA, 84512 nt
Filed under: Coffea arabica (coffee)
Lineage: Eukaryota; Viridiplantae; Streptophyta; Magnoliopsida; Gentianales; Rubiaceae
Description: long non-coding RNA (CARA_LNC005349)
Source: RNAcentral
AGUACUUUUGUGUCUAGUAUUGAUAAGUAACAUGGGAGUCCUAGUACCAUUGAUGAAUUGAUCAACAAAGUGUGAAAUUUUCUAGCUACAGCUGAAGAUUAGAAUGUAUGUAGAAGCAAAAAAGAAAUUGCUUGCAAAGAAUAUGAGAUGGCUAAGAGAAUAUAAGUGAAGAUGGAAUUGCUCACCAAAUUGUUCGGAGUCGCAGAGUUAAAGAUUUGAUAAAAGCAAACUGAAUCAGAUAGAUAUUGAUAGAAAUCUAGCCUUAAUGAGGAAGCAACCUACUGUUGUCUAAUGGCUAAAUGGCUAUCAUCUGUAAUCAGCGACUGUGUGUUUGAUUAAAAGUAAUAUACGGUAUAGAUGAAAAUAUAUGAUAGAUACACUGGUAUUUUUACCUUGUGAAGCAAUGAUAUUCAUAUGCAAAAAGUCUGGUAAUGGUACUGUCUAGGGCAAAGGUGUGAGAACUCGAAAGUCAUUUUCACAUUUUAUUUAUCUAAUUAUUUAUUUUUAUAUUACUUGCUUUAAAUUCUUGGUUGUUUUAAUGGUUAAGUCACGAUUUUUAUCCUUUUGUCUAAUUUAAUUUGGUGUAUGUUGAGUCUUGUAGUGCAUUAUGUAAGUAUGACCAACUAAUGAGAUGUACGCAAUAAAUUUGAUAGACAAGAAGGAGUUUUGUGCAAAGUGGAUUAUGUGACAAGAAGUGUUAAGAUUUAAUUAAAGGAACACAAGAUAUGUUAGUGAUUAAAGACAAAUAGAGAGACAAAUAGAUAGAUAUUAACCUUUCUAGGUAUCCUUUGACCAAGAUUAGCUUUGUAUUUUAUCUAAGCUUUGCUUUCAUUUUACCACAAAAUUCCCUUUAUCCUUCCCUUGUCUUGGCCAAACUCUUGAGGAGAAAAAAAGAGAGAAAUCAACUUAAUUUCAAGCCUUGAUUUCUUGUUUAUUUGGUGAGACAACAAGAGUGAAACCCUAAUCUACUCCGUAGAUACUUGAGGCAAAUGCGGAAAGAAGCUUUUGGUGAAAUUCUUGGAGGAAAGAGGCUCUUGAUUUGCUUCAAAUACUAGGUUUUAAGGUAAUUUGUUAGAAAACUUCUCUUUCAUCUCUUAUCUCUACAUUUAUAUGAUAUAUGAAGUGAUAGAAGGUAAAGAGAGGAUGUUUAUGGAAGAUUUCAUUUUUUGUCAAGUUGGAUUGUAAUUUUUCAAUUUUGGUGCAAGAUAUAUGUAGUUUAGGUUAGAACUUUAUAUAUAUGUGAAAUUUUGAUAGAUUUCUUUGUCUAGAAUAUGUAUCAUUCACCCUAUGACAUGUUAUCUUGAUUGAUAGUGGAUUUGUCAUGAAAAUAGGGUUAAAAAUUGGAAGGGCUAACUAGAGGAACUUGGGGUUAUAUUGCUGCAAUUUCUUUCUUGAUUGGUCACAUGAGAGAGUGAGAGUUGAAAAGUUUAAGGUGAUUUUGAUCUACCUUUACUCGAGUUACUUGAGAAACCCUUGAUUUUCACAUAUAGGUUGGAUUUGAGCCAAAAUGAAGUGAUUUAAGAAGAGGAAAAUGAUGUUUGCCCCUAAAAGUUUUAUAGUUGGAAAUUUUCAGCUUUGAACCUCAAGACUCUUGUUACUUUUCUUCAAAAUUCUUGCCUAUAAUUAACAUAGUUUUGCUCCAUCCUAUGCUUGAGGCAUUAAGCUACCAUAUAUGUGAUUUUUGUUUGAUUUUCACAUGUAAAAGGUGUGAUUUUUGAAAACCUAUAUUAGAAUUUUGAUGGUUUUUUGUUCUAUUAUAUAUAAUCGCAGAUUUCAAGAGUGGCCAGGAAGCAGAGCUUGAUAAGUAUGUAUUUUAAAUGUUUUAAGUGUAUUUUGUUAAUUGGUUUUGGUAUGUUUUAAUUACAUUUAUAGUUUAUGAACUAAGUUUCUACUGAAAAUAUGCAUUUUAUGGUUUAAGUGGUAAAAAUUGCAUUUCUAUAAAUUUUAAUGGUGAAAUUUUCAUAUUUUUGUAGGUUUAAUUAAUGAUUCAAGAAUCAAAUGGAGUGACUUAAGAAGAAAUUUGGAUAAUUGAUGAUGGUUUCAAAUGAUAAAUAGAGAAUAUGAAGUGCAAAAAAGGAAAUGCAACCAAGAAUAAAGAAAGGAAGUUUUACAGGUUUGACACCUUAUAGUAUCUCACCCAUAUCUUGAGUUACAAGCAUUGGAUUGAAGUGAUUCUUAUACUAUUUUAAAACUAAGAGAUAUAUCUGCAUUUGGUAUGAAGAAUCGAAGUCCAAUUUAGUCGUUUCAUUUUCAAAAAAUCAAAAUACAGAAGUGCAGUUUUGUUGUGGAAAGCUAAAACAGGGGAUUGACUAGUCAAGGUUAUUUUGGUUAUUUCUCAAUCUAAAUUGGAUGAUUCUUGAUGCAUUGGAAAGUAACUCAAAGGGUUACAACUUUUAUGCUUUGUACAAGAGUUAGUUCAACUUCUAUCAUCGAGAAAAUAUCAAGGAAAAUUAGUGCAAAAAUAGAGCACGACCUUAGGUCGUGUUUUUGAGGUUGUGAAAUUCCUUUAUAAAUAGAGGACUUUGGAGAACAUUUUGAAAACUUUCGAAGGUUAGAGAAACUCCACAAAAAUGUAGUUUUCACUAAAAUUUUCUUAGUUCAUUAGUUAUGGUAGAUUAGUAUAGUUAAUGUAGUUUAUCUUUCUUGUAUUUGUAGUUAGAUUUGGAUGAAAAUUUGAGGAGAAAAGAUGGAGAAAUUGAAACUAAUGUGAUAAGGGUGACUUCUCUCCUAUCACUUGCUCUUGUAUAUUUGAAUUAAUGUUUAACUAUAAUACAAGUUUGGAUUUUGUUUUUCAUGUUUUGCUAAAAUUUAUGCCUAAACUUAUGGAUGAACUUUCUAUAUCUUAUUAGUGAUAUUUAUUUCGUUAUUUGAUGAUAUUAUUUUGAACAAGUUAUUUAUCACUUUUGCUUUUCUCAUGAUUAAUAGGCCAUUAAUUGCGAUAAUUUUAAGGUGUUAGAUUUACAAUAAAAAUUAAAAUUUAACACUAGUUCAAGGAAAUGUUAAACCUAACAAGUAUACUCACGUGAGUAGAGAUACACCUAUAUGAUUUUGGUGACCUGUUUCAUGUAAUUUCAUAAAAGAAAUGAGUUUGUAACUAAUUUCAUAACCACGAAAGUAGGUAUGACUUAGUUCUAAGUAUAGUUGAUUUACUACGAGAAUAGAUUUCACAUAUAUUAGGAAAUUACAUCAUAAUUAGUCAAGAUAAUAACAUACAAUUAACCCGUAAUUUCAUUUGUAAGAGUAGUAAGGAAUUCUAUAUCUCUAGGAGUUUUAUAUUGUUAUUUUUGUUACUUUUAUCUUAUAUUUAUAGUGUAGAUUUAAUUUUUUGCACUUAUGAUAGUCUAAAUAAUAAAGAAAUUUGAAAAUUAUUGGUAAUUGAUAAUCUUUUCUAUGGGUUCGAUCCUUAAUAUCUUAUACUCGCUCUCGACUCAUAUACUCGCAAAAAAUCGCGUAUGGGAUAUUUAAAAUGUUAUAAAUGUGAAACUUGACUGUAGAUGAGCUAAUUAUUAUAUGUAUACUCUGCGCUCAUCAGAGUCUGUGCUUGACAUUGAUAGAUCUUAAUUAGUUGGUGAGUGUACCAAUUGUAUGAUAGAACUUGUUACUUGAUUGAAAUAUUCUUUUGAUGUAAUUGAUCAAUAAUUGUCAUGAAAUCGUUGAUUGAGUGAAUGUUAUUGCAAUUCUCUUGACUUGUGGUUGGACAAGUGCGUACUUUAUUGCAUUUGCCUUAACUGAACUAAAGUACUGUGCACUAUUUGCGAGUGAAUGGAUGUUCAUGUGCGUGACUUGAAAGUAACUGUUUGGGAUCCCAAAUCCCAUCAGCUAGUUAGUCAAAUCGAGCCAGCAAGGGUUUGGUCGAGGAGAUUGACGAACCAUAGGUAGUGUUUAUUGUUUAUUCCUUUGGAAUCGGUAUACUCGAAUUUUACCUCUACUAUUAUUUUUGGAGUUCGGAUCCAACAGGAGGCUGAUCGGUGAAUGGAAAUUGGAGAUAAACAGUGCUCUAUUGAACUUGUUACUAUGUCCACAUGGUUGAUGGAGUGUCAACGGAUUCUGGACAAGUUGUUGCCCAACUAACUCGCAAGAGCAAACUGUGUCUUUAUGCGUGAAAGUAUUAAUUGUUUAUUUGACUUAUUAUUUGAAAUAUCAAUGACUUGUCUUGUGAACGUCUACUUUCUUCACUUUGAAUUGUGAUAUAUGUAAUUGCCAGUUUACUACUUCAUUUGCAUGUUAUCUUGGAACCUCACUGGAUGAAAACUCAUUCCAUUAAUUUGUUUUCCUUACAAGAGGCGAGAAUGAGAACGUGUGAGUUGACUGGAGUUUUGUCUAAAUCUUUUAUCAAUUUUCCUGGUGCACUUCUUAACUUUGUCGGUUCCGACUUGAGUUUGUUGUUGCUUUUGGUGUUGUUGUGAGUGAGUUCUGACAAAAGUUAGGCAGACAGUCUGUCAAACCUUGGGGUACGCCCUAAAGGGAGGUAGGAUCGUCACAAAAGGAACCUGUUUUUGUAGCUCACGAAUAUGAAUGACAUCAAAUAUUAGAUUUCCAGCAUGGCGAAGUAGUAGAACGUCAUGUCUUCUAACAAUGUUGUAUUCAUAAAAAGCGUCCCAUCCUUCUCCGAAUGAAUGAGUAGUAGCUGUGAUAGGCCAUUGUCGCAAUCCAAAUCUUAGAAUAAUUAUAUUGCAUCAGUGUUGAUGAAGCAAGGUUUCAAACUAAGUAGGUAAUACCUUGGAAAAAUGAGGUAGGACAAACAAUGUGAAGCAAAACCAUGCUGUACAACUCUAAAUGCUAUAAUGUAGAUGAACUUGAACAAAAAGUUAACCUAUCCUUUGUGGAUGCAUUUGAGGACAAAACAGCAGGCUAGUAAGCUGUUAUUUGCGAGAUGAAAAUUUGUUGGAGACAUAGAGAUCGUUUCUACCAUUGAACUAAUAGGAGGAAAGAUGAAGAAAUGAAAAAACAAAAAAGUACUUAGUUAAUAGAAAAUGUGAGACAAGGCCGUAUUAUCUGAUGAGGCUGGAAAUACCAAAAGAAAUGCAGCUUACUUGUUACCAAGUUCUUAUGAAGAAAAGGCAUUAGUGAAAGUGUCUGGUGUUCAAUUUUGAUUGAUGAUUCUGUAAAUGGUAAAGAGCUUAUAUAUGAAGAAUACAUUAUUGUAAAAUAGUAUAUAUUUUUCAUUGCUUUUAAUGCUAAGUGCAAGUGUUUUCCUACCAUGAGUGCAAAGAUUUAUUAGUAGUAGUAGAGGAGGUAAGGAUCAAUGAAUAAAAAAGACAAUACAAUGGCAAACAUUAAGUGCGAGUUGUCAACUGACUGCAUGUAAAGUUAUAAUCCAAUGUGCAUUUGUAAUGUUCUAUGGUCUGAUAGCAAAUUUAUAAUUCACAGUGUACUUGUCAUGUUUACUGUAUAUAUAGGUAACCAAUAAUUUGACAUAUAAGUAACAGAAGCUAAAUAUACAAGUCUUAUAUGUCAAAGAUUUUGGUUGUCACAACAAAUCAAGAAGCAUCUAUACUGAUGCAAACAUGAUGAACCCGUGCCCCUCCAAAAGAGCAAGACAAGAUGCUAGCCGAAUUUGAACUUUAACCAAACGACUCCCUAUAGCAAGGAUAAUGACAAUAAAACCCUUGCUUAACAACACUAAGCAAACGACUUUAAUAACUACGGAAAUUACUAAUGAAACUAUUAAUCGUUUAAACUAUAGGUAGUAGAACGUCACAACCAAGGAGAUACUUGAUUGAUAAGUUCACUUGAAUAAUUUGAGAAAGAUUCUCAAAUAUUCAAAGAAACUCUUUUGGAAAGAAAAAAAUGAAUAACUCACGAAAUUUUAUUGAUCAAAAACUGAUCCUGAAGGUCUCUUACUUGGGUUAUAUAUUGUCAUACAAAACUAGAAGACCUAAAGUGAAUUGGAUUCACAGUUGGUAUCAGAGCUAGUUGACAACCACCAGAUUAUAUCCUUCUUUUCUUUUGUAUCGAAUCAUAUAGUCUUGUCUUUUCAAAUCUGAUUUCGUGUGUCUUCAAAAAAAAAUAAAUAAAUCGUCAUUGUUCAUGGUUACUGUUCAUCCGCUGUUACUGUUCAUACGAAAAAAUAAUUUUUUUGGAUACGUUGUCUUGUCUCUUAUUGUUGUGUUUCUUGAAUCUUGAAUUCAUCUAAAGUCACAAAAAUUCUAAUCAUGGUUGUUCUUGGAAAUUCGAUGUUGUUUCUUGUGUUUUGUAUCAAGAUUGUGGUUGGAUUGUAUUGUUCUGAAAUUCUUGAAAUUCUUGAUAAAGAAUCUUGAAUUUCUGGAAUUUCUUGAGUAUAAUUCUUGAACUUUUGGGGUAGAAAGUUAGGGUUUCUUGGAUUCUUGAAAUCAAGAAGAUCAAAUCUUGAACUUGUGCAAAACCCCUAGUUCUUGAUUCUUGAAAAUUAAGGGUUGAUCUUGAGUAAAACAAACCGAAACAAGUUCUUGUUCUUGGAGAGUGAUCCAAUUUGAGAAGAAAGAAAAAAAAGAAUCUGACUUGUGUUACAAAAAAAAAAAAGAAAAGAAAGAAAAAAUGCAAGAAAAAAAGAGUCAAAAACAGUUUCGGACUCUCAAGAAAAAAGAAACCAACUAGAAUUGGGAAACUAGGUUGAUUGGGCUUGCAAAACAAGUUCUAGUUGCAUUCAAACUUCCAAAUUCUGAUUGGUAUCUUUUAGAACCAGAAAUUUAGCCACUAAACAGUCCACAAACAACGAAGACAUCUUGGUUACAACUCCUAAAUUUUCGACCAAGUGUAAUUGGGGUAGAGUUCCUUUAGGAUUUGGAAACUUCCGCGAUUUUGUCUUCCUUGUUUGAGUCAAAUGUAUAAUCUAUAGUUUUGUCCUUCUUUUGUUAGAAGUCUUUUUUUCCCAACAUUAACUCAUAUCUAAAGAGUCCUUAGACAAGUCCAAUUCAACUUUGUCUUGUUCCUAGUCACUAGUUUCCGUCUUGAGUCAAGAUUCAAACAUGUACUUUCCUAUUUUUUUUGGAAUAAAUUGUUCGGGCAAUAAUUUGUCAAUUUUUCCAGCCUUUCAUUUGCAUCCUUUCUAAGCCACAUUCAUCUAUUUCACUCCCAAAAAAAUUCAGCAUCAAAGACGCCACCAUCUUGUGUGUGAUCUUGAUGAAAAUUUGAUUGAGCUUUUUUGAGAAAAUUCUGAUUUCUUCAAAGAAAGCAAUCAAGAGAUUUGAGACAUGAUUGGUAAGAACAUUAGAGUGAUACACUUGAGUGAUACAUGAGUGAUGAGUGCAUACACGUGAACUUGUGGGGUGAGGAAAAAUAUUUCUUUUACUAACUUUUUGUAGGUCCUCUCAAACAUCAUGGAGGAUAAAAGACAUAUGGCAACUACCUUACAUCAUCUACCUGAUCUAAAGGAGUUGAAUAUGUGGUGUUACGCGGUGCAGAUGAGCAAUUGGACAUCAUCAAAUCAAAGCCGCAUGGUUGGUUCUAUACUCAUUGUGGAGUCAAGGAUAAGAUUUGUAACUUGGCCAUUGAUAGAAGUUGUGAAGUCAAUCUUACAAGUGCUAUCAUGGUUAAGAAAUUAAAUCUUCCAACCAUUGAUCAUCUUCAACCUUACAAGUUGCAACGAACAUCGAUGGUUUGGCAGCGAAAAUUUGACCUAAUCUAAUUCUCGAAAUAGUGAACAAUAUUGAUACUAUCUCAACCCGCGAUUUAACGAAUUAGCGAACCAAACUAUAGGUAAUAGAACGCCACAACCAAGGAGAUACUUGAUUGAUAAGUUCACUUGAAUAACUUGAGAAAGAUUCUCAAAUAUUCAAAGAAUCUCUCUUGGAAAGAGAAAAGUGAAUAACUCACGAAAUUUUAUUGAUCAAAAACUGAUCCUGAAGGUCUCUUACUUGGGCUAUAUAUAGCCAUACAAAACUAGAAGACUUAAAGUGAAUUGGAUUCACUUAAACUAGUAAUCUAAUGACCUAAGUAACUUCGGUUAGAGCAAGACAAGGUGCUGGCCGACUUUGAACUUUAACCAAACGACUCCCUAUAGCAAGGAUAAUGGCAAUAAAACCCUUGCUUAACAACACUAAGCAAACGACUUUAAUUACUAUGGAAAUUACUAAUGAAACUACUAAUAGUUUGACUCAAUAAGUUGGAGCAAAGUAAUCAAUGUGAAUUGGGUAGAUUGCAACUCUUUUGAAGGGGCACGGGUUCAUCAUGUUUGCAUCACAUACAAAGCUGGAAGGUUGAAAGCUGAUAAUAAUAAUUUUGUCUAAAAAAAUAUAAAUAAAUGAAAAGGAAUCCCAAAUUAUAUAGAUUAUAACUCAAAAGAUAUCUGUUAAGAUCCUCAAGAUGUCUAGGAUAGGGGAUUUCAGUUCAUUUUUGAAAACUUGGCAAGAACUUUGAUAUACGCAUCUAGACUGAUUUAAUGUGAACCAGAAUUAUCUUUGCUUUAAGCUAAGUGUGAACAAACUCAAGUGGAAGUUCAAGAUUCUAUAAGAAACACAGAGGAUAUAAGGGGUGGCAAGUAAACAGUAUAUUUAUUAUCAAAUUUGAUAAAUUAAAAUAACCUGAUUCAUAUGAUCAAUUGCUUUAAGAGUAGUAAAGGUGAGAAUCUUUUCUAUUAGGUCUCCAAAGAUGGAAGCUAGUAUAACUCCACUGUCAUCGCUCAAAUUAAUGUCAAAACUGCACCGGAAAGAUAAGUAUAUAGGUCCUUAGGUGAUACGUUAUAUGACAUUGAGAUUAAAAGCAAUUCAGUAGUAAAUUUAAAGUUGAUGAUUUAUUGAUAUAGGACCUAGGCAUAGCAGAGCCCUUCUCUUUGCAUGAAUUACAAGUAAACUCAAUUCCAUAGUCUGUUGCAAUAGUUUGAUAACAUUUUGUGCAACUUAUGUACCAAUAUUUUUGGAAGAUGUGUUCAAAGGAGAGCCAUGCCUUGACCCAAGCAAUCUAAAAGAUAAACAAAUAUUAGAUGAAAGGCUAAACAUAUAUGAACAAGCUAUAAGAUUACACAACAGUAUAUUAUUUAAUCAUCUUCUGUGACGGCAUAACAUUGCAAGCUAGAGUAGUUUUUUGGUCUAUUCUUAAAGAAAGUGUAGGAUUGUACUUAAUGUAACUCUUUGUAUCAAUGAUUUCUGCAAUCAACUUAGCAUACCUCAUUGCCCUACAAAAAGAAUGAUGAAAUAAGAAAAAUAAGGAAAAAAUGAUACAGUUGAUAUUGUACUACAUUAAAAAAAUGUUAUUAGAGUCAUUGUACCAAUUCUUCAGCUCUCUUGCUUCCUAUAUAGGUGGAUCAACAAGAGCUGUAGAAUCAAACCAAAUAGAGAGCGCAAUACCUAUACAAUAAACAACAGCAUAAAAUUUGAGUUAUGAGUAACAAAUUUGAUAUACAAAUAAAGACUAUAAUACAAAAAAUGACAGCAUUUCAACAGACCAUUAUAGUUGUAAACUUUCAGCCGUCAACUAAUGAUAACAGGAUUGUUUUGUAUGUUAUUUAACAAAACUUGAACUUCAUUGUUUAGAAAAUCAUCCCAUAAAGAUAGCAGGACCGUUUGGGACCUAAUAUUGACAUAGAAGUUAGGACUAAAAUGAUAUGAGACUAUAGGAAAAAGGAGAUACGACUAGUCAAAAGUGUGCAUCAUUAUUAAAAAGAGAUCAUGUACUCUUUAUUAAGGAGGACAAAAUUUUUGAACAUUGGACUGCUUAGAGUUUCUAGUGAUCGUUUUCUUGGCUAAUGAACUGAUCACCACUUCGAGCAUAUCUGCGAAGGAGAAGAAAGUUUGAAAAAACAAUGAUUGGGGAAUAAAAAGAAGAAUGAUAGAUUGUUUAGAUACUCACUGACGGACUUGCUUCUACCAUCCAUGUAUACAGCCAAAUCAGCAAAUCUAGUGAAACCAAAUUUAACUAGCAUAAUGUCUUCAUCAUCAUUGACCUUUUCAAUGACAGUUUUAGUAAUGAUCACCUACUAUUUGGUUAAUUCAGGAGUUUGAAACUUUGUCAGAAUAGACCUGACAUCAGUAUUUGAGAACUUAUAUUUUUCUAUAAACUUGCAACCUAGGACUCAUUUUUGUGUUAGUAUUGAAGAUUAUCCCUUCAACUUUAGGGCCCCAUUAGAAGAAGAAAGGUUUACACAUAACUAACAUGAUUAACAAACAAAUAAAAGAUCAAAUAAUUGAUCACUGUUUCGUGUUCUAAAAUGCAACCUCUGAAUCAUGGAAGAUAAACUUUUGUUUUUUAGUUGGUAUUCCCAUAGAAUCUGUGACUUGUUGCUUCUCUUCAACUGUGAUGAUACAAGACCAGUUUUUCAAAUUAGGCAUGACAUCCCCAAUCAACAAGCUAGACAUCCUCCAAAAAGGGAACAAAGUUCAUAAUUUACAAGCUUAUCUAUAGAUAAUGCCUUAGCGAUAAGUAAACGCAGUGAUAAAAGAAAAUUCUACUAUUGGCUUAAUUCAAAAACUUUAUUGAGCAUGAUAUUUCUAGUUUUGUAGUUUGUUUUUAUAUCAUCAAAAUUUCCUGGCACAAUAAGUAUUUUCAACUCACUUAAAUUUCUAACUAUGGACAAGGCUACGUAUAGCUGUCCAUGAGAAAAGGCAAGCUCACAUAAGUAAAUGCCACAUAGUCGAGAGUCUAUCUUUGAGCCUUAUUAAUGGUCAAUGCAAAAUAAGGUCGAAUAGGAAACCGAGUCCUUUUGAAUGCAAUGGAUUUCUUUUGAUUGUCAGUAAUUUGUAAGGGUAUUUUUAAAUAAGAAAUCUCUUUUCUCGAUGCUGGUUGAAGACAAUUUCAGCAGAAAUAGUGUGUUGGCCAAGCUCUCUACAUAUGAACCUUGUGCCAUUGCACAGGCCUUCAAGAGGAUUUAGAUUCCUCAUCAGUCUAAUUGGACAGUUUUCUUUUAACAUUAACCUGUGAGGAGGAAACCCUUUUGGAUUCUGAGAAUUAAAGAAAUCUUCAUAAUCACCCUAGUGCCGCGGAUCAACAGUUUUGUCUAAACUAAUAUAAGUGUGAAGCUUUCCAGGAAACCUUCAAAUCAUUAUAUUAUUGAGCUCAUCAACUGAACUACUUUUAAGGUCAAGAAUACAUCUAUUGAUCAUAGUAUAUGGAUUUUGGGAAUAGAGAGCUAAAUCUAGAAAAACACAGUGUAAUAACCUAUUAAUAAAGAGGUUAAAUUAGAAAUUGUACAAGUUAAAGGUUAGACAUAUAAAACAAGGCAAUAUUAAGUCAUUUAACGUAUAUAAAGUUUCUUCUCUAUCGUAAUAAGGAAUGACUAAAUCUCUGGACAAAGUUAUUUCACCGUUCAAGUCAACAGGUUAAUUUUCUUCACCAAGUCUUAAAGAGAAUUCAGAAAAUUGAGGAUAUCAUAUAGCCCACAUAUUUUCUGUCAACUUCAGUUUAUGAAGCUUAGACCACAACGGAGAAUUGAGAAAGCAUGACUGCAAAAGGACUUCCUUUGUUGCUUGCUCAAUCAUAGGUAGUGUCUGCUGAAAAUCCCUACCAAGUACAACAACUUUGCCUCCAGUAGGUAGAUUAGAUUCCAUUAUAUCUCUAAGUAAAUCAUCAUGUGCCUUAACAAUUUCUUGUUUAGCCAUGAAAGCCUCAUCCCAUAAGAUUAGUUUAAACUCUAAGAGCAGCUUUGCAACAUGCCUUACUAAGCUUGCAAGUUUUGUUCUUUAAAAAUCAAGGGGUAUCUUAAAUCUUGAGUGUAAAGUUCUUCCUCGAAGAAGAAUAGAUGCUAGAAUUUCAAAGGUCGCCACUGCAAUGGCUAUAUGACAUUGCGAUAUCAAAGUAGCAAGCAACAACCGAUAUAAAAUGUUAAAAAAAAAAUGUCCUUAUGAAGAGAAACAUACUUGUAGGAUCAAGUCAUAAGCAUACUUUUGCUGGGAAUUGAAUUUCAAUGACAUCAGUAGAUCUUUCGACCGUAUGUCUAUGUUUCUUUCAGCUUCUAUCUUCUUUGUUAGGUGUGCUUGAUAUACAUUUACAAGAUCAUCUGAUGGUAAUUGAUAGGUAGCAAUGCUUGUACUCAUCUGCUGAAGCGAUCUAUUAAUAUCAGCUAGAACCAAUACCCUAAUUUCAGUGGGAGGGUAAUCACAAUAUUGUCUAUGCCGCUCAUAGUCUCUAGAGAAGUCAAAUUCAAAAUUUUUUCAUAACAUUAUGGGAUCAAUUGGAGAACAAUGAACCAAAAAAGUAGCAAAUAACAAUCUGAGUGAACAUGGCAUCUGAAAUGCAGCGGCUUCCACAAGUGUUUCUUCUAUAUAUAUAUUAGAUUGCAAUAGUCCAAGUGCUAGAGUAGCCUCUCUGAAUGACUUCAUCUUUCUAUCGUUGACAGUUAAGAGAUCAUCGAAUGAAGUCGGUCCAAGAAUAUAAGUUAAGAGAAGUCUUAGAUAGUACCUCUUUCUCUCUUUGGAUUAACACUAACAAGUCUACCUAUUACCUUUCAACACUUUCUUUCGGUCCAGAGCUUAUAUUUAGAAGAUCAAACAAAAUGCUGAGGAAAUCUCUAUAAAAGCAUUUAAGCUUUUUAGUUGUUGCAUUGGUUGUAUUCAUUUUGAAAAACUCAAUUAACAUGAAUUUUGAAGAAUCUGCUUUUUCUAACAAUUGCAGCAAAUCUGAGUUCACGUCAAAAGACACAAGUUGCUGACUUGAAAAGUGAACUUCAAAAGCAUAAAUAGAUUGGGGUCAUGUCAUUAAAACAGAACUCAUAGAUUCAUCAAAAUGCUUUUGGAGGUGAAACAUAUCUACCUUUCUAGAACUCUUUAAUCUCAUGAAUAUUAACAGUGUUAUCAUCUAUCAGAUUCUAAAGCAGAUCAAAUCAUGCUCUUUAAAUACAUACUUAUACAAGUGCUUGACAAGCUUAAUGAUAGAAGAAAUCCCACGUUCAUGUGCCAAUCAAAUACAGUAAGAAGAUAAGGGUUGUAAGGCACCACCCACCAAUUAUCAAGGGUAAAUCUGUGCACUUUCCCUCUCCUGUCAUCAUUCCUUCUUCUAUAAUAUGAGUUACUAUGUUCAAUAUGAUUUGUACAGGGGCAAAAAUUUUUUAGAGAGUGAUUCUUGCAGGCACCGUCUUUCAUACAAGGACAAGUUUUAUCCAUGUCUCCACAAGGACCGUGGAUCAUAUGUUUUACAACAAAAGAGUACAUGAGAGACUAUUGAAUACGAUCAAGUAAUUCAACACAAACCAUUCUGUCAUAUGACUCUUGAUUAAGUAACUUAAAUUGAGGCUUUAAAAGGAGCAGCAAAUGAGCAUGUGAAAAAUCCCCAUUUUUAAAACUCAAUGACAUAGACACAUGUUGGCAGCUCACCAAAAAUCUGCUUAUUCAAAAGUUCAUACUUAAGCAUUUCAAAUUUAACUCUAAAAACACUAACUAAAAGAUCGGGUCUAUCCUAUGGCUUCUUAUGAUAUUUCAGAUUGGAUUGAAUUUCUUUUCAUGCUUGAUUGUAGAUCAUGGUAAGAAAAAUUUUUAAUUUAUCAUAUUUUUGUAUCAGUGUCAUUGCAUCAAGAUAGCGGCGCCUCAUGUCCCUGGGACCACUUACAAAGAAAGCAGGUAACACUAUCCUGUUGUCACAGGUUGCAUAAAUUCCUAUAAGCACUCGCACAUGUAGCACUAGCAGUUGUCCAAGACUCUAGCUAUGAAGGUCUUGCUAGUUCAGCCUAAAUACCUAAAUGCGGGAGAGUUGUGCAGAAGUGUAAAAGUAGUAGACAAAGAGAGAAGUGUUGGAGGUUAAGGAAAGCUUGUAUUUUUCUUGAACAAAUGUUACAAAGUAUUUUACAAAUGAAGAGGUUUGGCCUUUUUAUAGGCAGGCCAAGAAAGUCAUACAAAAUCCUAAAAAGCUCUACACAUAUCUUCCUACACUUAGUCUUUAGAAGUUUCUAUACAAACCUAUGUUAUUAUGUACAAGCUCUAGACUUCCAUCUGUGACGACCCCACCUCCACCUAAGGCGUACCAAAGGGUUCGGCAGACCGCCUGCCCAGCUCUCGCCAGGACUCACUCACUAUCUCAAUCGAGUCAUGUACACACAUCCAUGAACCAUAAAUAACAUUCACAAUUCAAGCUUAUAAUUUACAUUGAUAGAAAUCGAGGUACAAAGCCUCAAUACACCAAACUAGUUCAAAAUGUAUACAAUCCAAGUACAACAUGUUCCAUUCGAGGAAUAGCGCGAGUACAAGUCAAAAGUCAAAACAAUUUCAAGAGCAACUAGACUACGCUAGUCUGUUCACGACUCACGCCUCACUCGUAUUCCUGCAAGGAAAACAAAUAGCGUGGAAUGAGCUAAAAGCCCAGUGAGGUUUCAAAUAACAAAUUGCCCAUUUUAAAAGUAUGAAUAUCCAUGUAGCAAGUUAACGGCAUCAAAACUCAUAAGAGUGGACAAUAAUAUUUCAAGUAGCAAAUUUCCAAAUGAGCACGUAUAAAGUGCUUUUUCGAUUUUCAAAAGGAACAGCAAUCCAAUAAGCAAUAAUCACUUUCAAGUAUAAGGAUACGGAAGGCUCUCAGGAGCCAAAUUUCCAUUGCAUCUCCAGAGCUUGAUCAAGUAACAGUUGACACUCCGUCAACUUUCAAGUAGGUAACCAAUCCAGUAGAACACCACUUACACGACUCUCCGUCCACCGUUCACCCCCUACUGGGCCCAAAAUCCUCAAUAAACACGUGUGGUAAUACUCGAGUAUACCGUUUAGCCGAGGAGAUAUCACUCCACUCGACAAAACAAGAGACCCAGGGUUCGUUACCCAAUCGACCAAGCCCUUGCCGGCUCGACUCAAGUAACUUGCCGCAGGGUUUCUGGAAUUCCAGGAAGUGCGCGCACCACAAUCAAGUAUAUCAAGUCAAUUGCAAUCCAUAAACAAGUACAAGUCACGUAAGGGCAAGUGCGAUAAAGUACACUCUUGCCCUAUCAAUUCACGUAUAUAACAUGUACUCAUAUUGGUCACGUAUCAAGUUCAAGUAUCAAGUUCAAUUCGGUAUUUGAAAGCACUCACCAAAAGAUAUAGUGCUUCAAGUAUUCACGUUCAAUUACACUCCAGGCUUGGAGUCCAGAUCUGCGAUAAAAAUUCCAGUUUGAGAACUUUGAAACACGAGUCGAAUUCGAAACGUUAACAUUCCAUUCAUUAAAAAUCGACCAAUUGAAAUUCAUUUGAAAGACACUCGCGAAACACUUGCUCGCUUUUCAAAUCAUAAGGUUUUGUAGCAUAAAUACUUGGAAAUAACACUUGAGUUGAAAGUACAUGGAAAUACAAGUUUACAUUGGCCAUUAAGUCUUUUCCUCAAGGUACGAGCUCGACCAAGUCUUAACAUAUAACACUCAAGAAACAUAGUAGCAAAGGUCUUUACUAGUUCAAGUGAUAAAUACUUAACCGUCACUCAAGUCGCUAAUAUAGUCGCUAAUAUAGUAAAAAUUCGGGCAGCAUGCCCUUUGUGUUUACCUAAUUUUCCAGCCUUUUAGGCUUCAUUGUUUUUCUCAAACACAACCCAACAUUAUACAUAUCAGCAAUUCAUGUCAAGAGCCGUUCCAUAGGCUCACAAUAUCAUAAUAACAAGAAUCGUAUUAAGUACAAGUGCAGAAAUUCAAUUUAGUUCAAAACAGAUUUGACGUACAAAUGCGGAAAUAACAUAUCCGAGGUUACGCUUAUCGGAUUAAAAUGAAACCUAUGCCGUUUCGAAGCUAAGAUACAGAGCUACAAUAUUCAUGAAGGUCACUUAGUCCAGUUUCUAAUGUAACUUGGUCAAAUUCUCGAAUUACUAAACCAGAAACUAAUUCGUCGGCUGUUUAAACGCAGAACACUGUAAUGAACAUAACUCAGUGUACAAAAAUCCAAUUCAGGUGUUCUUAGAGGAAUUUUAAAGCUACUUCAGAACACUACAACUUUCAUGAAGAGCACUCAGUCAAAUUUUCAAUGUAACCUGAUCAAAUUCCCAACUCAUGUAACCUGGUUUCAACUAUUCGGCUAAUCAGCCGCAUUUCACUCACAUGACCAUAUCUCAGUCUACCAAGAUCCAAUUAAGGUGUUCUUGGAGGCGUUACGAAGCUAAGACAGGGUAAUAAAACUUUCAUGUUUCGGUGAAAGGCUAAAUCUAAACGGAUCAUAGUGAAUAAACUCAAUCAAAAGGACUGAACUGUCCACGCGGAAUUCUGGAAAGUGACCUAGAUCAGCGAGGGUAUUUUCGUCUUUUCACAAGCUACGAUGCUCCAAAUGAGCUGAAAUUUUGUGGGCACCUAUAAAAUACCAUUCUGAACAACUUUCAUGUUUUGACCAAAGGCCAAUUAGGCCUCUAACAUAGGGCUACAAAAACGGGCAGAAUGGAAGAACAAUUUUCCAGAUUUCUGGGAUUUUCAGUUUUUAAUGUAACUUUCCUCAAUUUCUUGUUCUAAUCACUACCAAAACCCUUUAUAUAACCUUAAUUACAACAUAUGUGAGUCACACAUCAAGUUUGGCAGCAAAUCCCCAAAACCCUGAUUUGAUUAUUUCAUCCAAUAAUCAUCACAAUCACUUGCUCAUCUUGAAAUCAAGCCAAAACUUAAGCUAAAUAACAUCUUAACACAAGAUUUAAAAGAUCAAGGACCAUGAUCAGAUUGAAUACCUCAAAAACAAGGCUUGGAUGAGUGAUAGUUCACUUCCUUUGAAAUUUCUUGGUUCCUUAGCUUCCCAAGCUUCCAAACUUGCAAUCAAUCGGUUUAGAUUUCUAGCUUAGCACUUGGUUGGUGUGAAUCAAGAAGGAAUGUGGUUGCUCAAGCUCUCACUUCUCUCUCUCUCUUGGUCGGCUGGAAUGAUGCAGAAAUGGAAGGAAAUGAAGCUAAGUUUGUCUUAUAAGAAGAUGGAAAGAUAAGAAUUAAUUCUAGCCACAAGUUUGGCUAACACUUGGUUUAAUCUCAACCACAAAAUUUUCUCUUUCUUCCUUGCAUUUUCUAACUUCAAUUUCUUGGUCAAAUCUGAUGUUAAUUAAGGAGAUAUUUUAUCCAAGAGUCAAUAAGUUUGUUUGGUAAGAAAAAUGGUAGGCAAGUGGUGCGUUCAAUCGGUAGUGCGCGGGACCCGUCGGUUCGCGCCGUUUUUCUUAAAAACUCACGUACUACUGUUUUUUUUCUUCCCAUUCACUAACCUUAUAUCAUUGCUACUACUCACAUAUUAUUUCUCACUUAAAAGUCACUUUUAAUCUCCAAAUUUAAUCCUUACUUUGUACCGAAAAUUCAUCCGGUGAAAAAUUGCGAAAACCCUAAUUUUACUCCGAUCUUAAAACCAAAGGUGAAAACCUACUUUCUAGGUUCAUUUACACUUAUCGUGGAAUAAAUGGGGUAGCAAGCCUUAAUAAAAAUAAUAAUUUCCAAAUAAAGGGACAUUUUUAAAAUAACAUGAGGGAUUUUCCAAUUCCAUAAAUUGAAUUUAGAGUUUCUAUUAAAAGAUGAGAUAUUGAAGGAAACCAGUUAAUCACAAGUAAACUAGGGUUUUUGAUUAAAAUUUUAGGGUUUCUAAUCUUUUUAAAACAAAAUAAGGUUUUAAAUCAAACCCAAAGAAAUACACUUUAGUAUCUUAUUUACAAACAAUCUCCUAAUUUUCGGGGCGUCACACUCUCCCCUCCUUAAAAGAAUUUCGUCCUUGAAAUUCAUACAUGCACCUCGAAAUAAUGUAGGGUAUUUUCCUUAUAUAUUCAUUUCCAGCUCUCAGGUUUCACUAUAGUCAAUAUUUGGUUAAACAAUAGUAAACACGAAUCGUACCUUCUACUAUCUCCAAUGGUUCAGGUAAAGCCUGUUGAUCCAGGGAGUACAUUCUAGCUGGCACUCUUGACUUAGACCCUUCUAAAUCAUAGGCAAUAUAACACAUUUAAUCAAAACAAGUCGCAUAACUUAUAGAGCAUUAAUCUUACGUAUCACUCAGGUACUACACUUAAUCAAGGCUCGUAACACGUGGAUAAGAAGGAUCCCAAAUCCCAUGAAUAUCUUCAAUAUAUUUCACGUCCAUACUAUUCACAUUCCCCGUGCCUUUGCUUUCACAAUCCAAAUUUAUCUCAAUAUUACGUGAGAUCUCAGCUUAUCGUAAAGGUGUCACUCUUUGGUAUUCGGGGACAAGAAUCCACAAUAAGGUAAUUCACAACUCGAGCCGGCCGGUCCCAAGAGUAAAUCACCCGAAUUAGAGAUUCCUACCCAGCAUACAUAUCUAAAAUCUCCAACAAUAGACAAUCGUUCCACACUUAACAAGUCAAUCCCCACAGUCCGAGAACCUUCUCCCGGCACGAGCUCAAUAGGAGCUCUGAUACCAUCUGUGACGACCCCACCUCCACCUAAGGCGUACCAAAGGGUUCGGCGGACCGCCUGCCCAGCUCUCGCCAGGACUCACUCACUAUCUCAAUCGAGUCAUGUACACACAUCCAUGAACCAUAAAUAACAUUCACAAUUCAAACUUAUAAUUUACAUUGAUAGAAAUCGAGGUACAAAGCCUCAAUACACCAAACUAGUUCAAAAUGUAUACAAUCCAAGUACAACAUGUUCCAUUCGAGGAAUAGCGCGAGUACAAGUCAAAAGUCAAAACAAUUUCAAGAGCAACUAGACUACGCUAGUCUGUUCACGACUCACGCCUCACUCGUAUUCCUGUAAGGAAAACAAAUAGCGUGGAAUGAGCUAAAAGCCCAGUGAGGUUUCAAAUUACAAAUUGCCCAUUUUAAAAGUAUGAAUAUCCAUGUAGCAAGUUAACGGCAUCAAAACUCAUAAGAGUGGACAAUAAUAUUUCAAGUAGCAAAUUUCCAAAUGAGCACGUAUAAAGUGCUUUUCGAUUUUCAAAAGGAACAGCAAUCCAAUAAGCAAUAAUCACUUUCAAGUAUAAGGAUACGGAAGGCUCUCAGGAGCCAAAUUUCCAUUGCAUCUCCAGAGCUUGAUCAAGUAACAGUUGACACUCCGUCAACUUUCAAGUAGGUAACCAAUCCAGUAGAACACCACUUACACGACUCUCCGUCCACCGUUCACCCCCUACUGGGCCCAAAAUCCUCAAUAAACACGUGUGGUAAUACUCGAGUAUACCGUUUAGCCGAGGAGAUAUCACUCCACUCGACAAAACAAGAGACCCAGGAUUCGUUACCCAAUCGACCAAGCCCUUGCCGGCUCGACUCAAGUAACUUGCCGCAGGGUUUCUGGAAUUCUAGGAAGUGCGCGCAUCAUAACAAGUAUGUCAAAUCAAUUGCAACAAUAAACAAGUGUAUAUCAUGUAAGGGCAAGUGCGAUAAAGUACACUCUUGCCCUAACAAUUCACGCAUGUGACAUGUAAUCAUAUUGGCACGUAUCAAGUACAAGUAUCAAGUUCAAUUCAGUAUUUGAAAGCACUCACCAAAAGAUGUAGUGCUUCAAGUAUUCACGUUCAAUUACACUCCAGGCUUGGAGUCCAGAUCUGCGAUAAAAAUUCCAGUUUGAGAACUUUGAAACACGAGUCGAAUUCGAAACGUUAACAUUCCAUUCAUUAAAAAUCGACCAAUUGAAAUUCAUUUGAAAGACACUCGCGAAACACUUGCUCGCUUUUCAAUCAUAAGGUUUUGUAGCAUAAAUACUUGGAAAUAACACUUGAGUUGAAAGUACAUGGAAAUACAAGUUUACAUUGGCCAUUAAGUCUUUUCCUCAAGGUACGAGCUCGACCAAGUCUUAACAUAUAACACUCAAGAAACAUAGUAGCAAAGGUCUUUACUAGUUCAAGUGAUAAAUACUUAACCGUCACUCAAGUCGCUAAUAUAGUCGCUAAUAUAGUAAAAAUUCGGGCAGCAUGCCCUUUGUGUUUACCUAAUUUUCCAGCCUUUUAGGCUUCAUUGUUUUUCUCAAACACAACCCAACAUUAUACAUAUCAGCAAUUCAUGUCAAGAGCCGUUCCAUAGGCUCACAAUAUCAUAAUAACAAGAAUCGUAUUAAGUACAAGUGCAGAAAUUCAAUUUAGUUCAAAACAGAUUUGACGUACAAAUGCGGAAAUAACAUAUCUGAGGCUACGCUUAUCGGAUUAAAAUGAAACCUAUGCCGUUUCGAAGCUAAGAUACAGAGCUACAAUAUUCAUGAAGGUCACUUAGUCCAGUUUCUAAUGUAACUUGGUCAAAUUCUCGAAUUACUAAACCAGAAACCAAUUCGUUGGCUGUUUAAACGCAGAACACUGUAAUGAACAUAACUCAGUGUACAAAAAUCCAAUUCAGGUGUUCUUAGAGGAAUUUUAAAGCUACUUCAGAACACUACAACUUUCAUGAAGAGCACUCAGUCAAAUUUUCAAUGUAACCUGAUCAAAUUCCCAACUCAUGUAACCUGGUUUCAACUAUUCGGCUAAUCAGCCGCAUUUCACUCACAUGACCAUAUCUCAGUCUACCAAGAUCCAAUUAAGGUGUUCUUGGAGGCGUUACGAAGCUAAGACAGGGUACUAAAACUUUAAUGUUUCGGUGAAAGGCUAAAUCUAAACGGAUCAUAGUGAAUAAACUCAAUCAAAAGGACUGAACUGUCCACGCGGAAUUCUGGAAAGUGACCUAGAUCAGCGAGGGUAUUUUCGUCUUUUCACAAGCUACGAUGCUCCAAAUGAGCUGAAAUUUUGUGGGCACCUAUAAAAUACCAUUAUGAACAACUUUCAUGUUUUGACCAAAGGCCAAUUAGGCCUAUAACAUAGGGCUACAAAAACGGGCAGAAUGGAAGAACAAUUUUCCAGAUUUCUGGGAUUUUCAGUUUUUAAUGUAACUUUCCUCAAUUUCUUGUUCUAAUCACUACCAAAACCCUUUAUAUAACCUUAAUUACAACAUAUGUGAGUCACACAUCAAGUUUGGCAGCAAAUCCCCAAAACCCUGAUUUGAUUAUUUCAUCCAAUAAUCAUCACAAUCACUUGCUCAUCUUGAAAUCAAGCCAAAACUUAAGCUAAAUAACAUCUUAACACAAGAUUUAAAAGAUCAAGGACCAUGAUCAGAUUGAAUACCUCAAAAACAAGGCUUGGAUGAGUUAUAGUUCACUUCCUUUGAAAUUUCUUGGUUCCUUAGCUUCCCAAGCUUCCAAACUUGCAAUCAAUCGGUUUAGAUUUCUAGCUUAGCACUUGGUUGGUGUGAAUCAAGAAGGAAUGUGGUUGCUCAAGCUCUCACUUCUCUCUCUCUUGGUCGGCUGGAAUGAUGCAGAAAUGGAAGGAAAUGAAGCUAAGUUUGUCUUAUAAGAAGAUGGAAAGAUAAGAAUUAAUUCUAGCCACAAGUUUGGCUAACACUUGGUUUAAUCUCAACCACAAAAUUUUCUCUUUCUUCCUUGCAUUUUCUAACUUCAAUUUCUUGGUCAAAUCUGAUGUUAAUUAAGGAGAUAUUUUAUCCAAGAGUCAAUAAGUUUGUUUGGUAAGAAAAAUGGUAGGCAAGUGGUGCGUUCAAUCGGUAGUGCGCGGGACCCGUCGGUUCGCGCCGUUUUUCUUAAAAACUCACGUACUACUGUUUUUUUUCUUCCCAUUCACUAACCUUAUAUCAUUGCUACUACUCACAUAUUAUUUCUCACUUAAAAGUCACUUUUAAUCUCCAAAUUUAAUCCUUACUUUGUACCGAAAAUUCAUCCGGUGAAAAAUUGCGAAAACCCUAAUUUUACUCCGAUCUUAAAACCAAAGGUGAAAACCUACUUUCUAGGUUCAUUUACACUUAUCGUGGAAUAAAUGGGGUAGCAAGCCUUAAUAAAAAUAAUAAUUUCCAAAUAAAGGGACAUUUUUAAAAUAACAUGAGGGAUUUUCCAAUUCCAUAAAUUGAAUUUAGAGUUUCUAUUAAAAGAUGAGAUAUUGAAGGAAACCAGUUAAUCACAAGUAAACUAGGGUUUUUGAUUAAAAUUUUAGGGUUUCUAAUCUUUUUAAAACAAAAUAAGGUUUUAAAUCAAACCCAAAGAAAUACACUUUAGUAUCUUAUUUACAAACAAUCUCCUAAUUUUCGGGGCGUCACAGCCAUCGUCCCCGAUGCCUAGCUAUCCUCAUAUACCCGUAGGACGUUUUUAAAUUAUCACAAUUUUUUAGUCAGUUCCCAACUAAUCUUAGCCUCGAAUAACCCACGCUAUCGCACCAAAUACUCUUUAGAUGGUGCGCGAUUAUUGUGUCGAAUGAUAUAAUUGGCAACGAUCUCCUCGGCAACCUUAUUGUAUUCCUCCCUUGUAGUGCGCGGGUGCCCUCGUUGACACGCUGUUUGGAAAAUCGUGUGAGUUUUGAUAGAAUGGAUUGAAUAGGCUCACAUGAAAGAUCGAUUGAAGUUGGGAUAGGGCAUUGAACAACUCCAUCUUGUAGGCCACGUUUCCUAUCCUCUUUAACACUGUAACGGUUUUUCAUCGUCAUAUUAGACCCUUGUGCACCCCACGAAUACGUCCAUAUUGAUAGAGUUUCACCAACACUUGAUCCCCCUCCUUGAACUCGCGGAACCUAUAUUUACGGUCGGCCAACAUUUUCAUAUGCUGCUGGGCUUUUUCAAGAAAAACUUGGCUAUUUUCAUGCAUUUUUGUCAAUCUAUAGCAAACCGGUAUGCGGGAGGACUCGCAUCCUUGUAGCUACCAACAAUAUCCUUCGGGGUCAUCGCUGAAAUCCAUGCACGAUCUCAAACAGACUCUUGUCAGUGCUCUCAUUUUUUUGCAAAUUAAAGUAGAAUUGGGCAACGUCCAACAGUUUAACCUAAUCCGCUUGGUUCACCGUCACAUAAUGCCAGAGGUAGAUCUCUAGCAUAUUGUUUACACGUUCCGUCUAUCCAUCCAUUUGUGGAUGCAUUAUUAUUGACAUGUUGAGUCUCGAACCAAGCAAACGGGAUAACUCCAUCCAGAACCUGCCCAUAAACCGCUAAUCCCGAUCGCUAACGAUUAUUGCCUGCAAGCCCCAAUACUUGAUGACAUGGCCCAUAAAGAAUUUCAUCAUUACUUCAGUCAUGUGCUCUUUUAGGACGGGAACGAACGUAGUAUAUUUGAAUAACCAAUCCAUAAUCAUGAAUAUGCUAGUACACCCCUAUGAUUUCGACAAUUCGACUAUAAAAUUCAUAGAAAUGCUCUCCCAUAUGUUCCUUGGGAUUGGCAGCGGUUGCAAUAGUCGAGCUGGCAGCUCGUUUUCUACCUUAUCUUAUUGGCACACUAGACAAGUCUGUAGGUACUCGUCGACAUCGUCUCUUAGAUUUGGCCAAUAAUAACAUUCUCGUACUAGAGGCAAAUGCGAUGAGUGUUUGGAUGACCAGAAUACCGAUUAUUGUGAUAUUUCUUGAUGUCCCUUCUCAAGUGUUCCCAAUUAGACUCGUAAAUCCACUGGCCCUUAGUAUAGAGGACCCCAUCCUCCAUCCAAAAUCUCUUCGUUUUCCCCUCAUUUGCUAGCUUUAUGAGUGCUUGCGCCCAAUCGUCAUGCUACAGUCCCUCCUUGAUAUGCUCCACGAGCAGUUUUUCAGUCGUGUAUGUAGGUGUGACAACGCUUUUGUGAUUUAGGGCAUUGGUCAUGACAUUUGUUUUGCCUGGGCUACACUUGAGCUCGUAUUUGAAUUCUAGUAGAUAACAACCAUUUUACUUACUUGUUUGAGAGCUUCUUUUACAAUUGAUGGUAGUUCAUCGUCUUAUUAUCCAUUUUGAUCUUGAAUGGUGUGACAGCCUUGAGAUAGUGCUCCCAAAUUCAUAAACAAUACACGACCUCUAAUAUUUCCUUCUCAUGCGUCGGCCACCGUUUUUCAACGUCGCUAAACAUAUGAUUCUCAUAAGUAAUAAGGUGAUCAUCCUGCAUCAAUACACCACUAACGGCUAAGUCGGAUGCUUCAGUGUGUAUCUCAAACGAUUUGUCAAAAUUGGGCAGUGUUAACACCAUCUCUUUCAUCACAGCAUCCUUCAACUUCUUGAAUGCUGCUUGGUACUCGGGUGUCCAUGUCCAUGUUUUGUCUUUACGUAGAAGAUCGGUUAGUGAAGCAGCAAUAGCUAAGAACCUUGCGAUGAACUGUGGGUAGUAGUUCACUAGCCUAAGAAAUGAUUACAAAUCCGUGGAUGUCUUUGGUGCCUCCUAAUCCACGAUGGCUUUGAUCUUUUGGGAAUCCAUACGGAUCCGUCCGUGCCUCACGAUAUGCCCUAAGAAGGAGAUUUGACGUAGGCCAAACUUGCAUUUCUCGUUCCUCACAUACAAUUUGUUGACCCAUAAUGCUGUGAACACUUGUCUCAAGUGGCGAACAUGCUCUUCCAAUCUAUUAAUAUAUAGAUGACGAUGUCGUCGAGAUAGACCACGACGAACUUGUCUAAAAACUCCUUUAGUACCUUUUGCAUGAUAUGGCUGCUGCAUUUGUCAAUCCGAACGACAUCACGUUGAACUCGUACGACCCAUACCUGGUGAUGAUAGUCGUUUUGGACUCGUCCUCUACUUUAAUCCUCACUUGAUAAUAUCCCUUGCAUAGGUCAAGUUUGGACAUGAUUUUCAAUGAUUGUAGACGGUCGAAUAAGUCCAUGAUUAGGGGUACGGGAUACUUGUUUUUCACCAUUAUCUUGUUGAGUGCUCGAUAAUAGCUAUACAUAUGCAAGGUGCCGUCUUUUUUGCAUUGAAAGAGUACGGGUAUACCAACGGGGCUCUUGAAAGGUAUAGCAUUAGACUCCAAAAGUUCUCCAAAUUACUUCUGUAACUCCUCUAACUUCUCGAGCGACAUGCGAUAUGUCAAAUAGGAGACCGGUUUAGUGUCUUUCACCAAUUUUAUAGCGUGAUCCACAGCAAACUAGAGGAACCUCUUUUGAUAGGUCCUCGAGCAUCACGUUUUCAAAUUUCGCUAAGACUUUCUCGAUUUCGAGUAAAAUUGGCACCGUUUCUUUAGACUCACAUGUCGGCGAGUUUUCUUCACUAAGGAUGGCCGCAAUCAUCGGUUCACUCAUUCGCAAGCCCCUCUUAAAUUGAGGGAAUUCAACUCCUUCUUAUGACAUACGUUUGCUAUGCAUGGUUGGCCUUCUUACUUAAUGAGUAUUGUAUCUUCAUGCGGCACCAUUAUUGGUUUCAAGUAGUCUAUGAAACGCAUGUAAAAGAAUACCUUAUAAUCGUCAAUCAGGACAAUAUAGAAGUUGGCCAUACUUGUCCAUUAACCCAUGCUAAUGGGUACUUCCUUGAUUUCACCCACAAGCGAUGUCUACUCCCUGUUCACACCUUUGAAAUGACUUGACGCUAGCGCCCAUGUAAGCCCCAUCUUGCAUUCGACGUCUUGGCUCAUAUGGUUGACGUAUGCUCCCGUAUCAAUCAAUAUCAUCACUUAAUGCCUAUUGAUGUUAGCGUCUAUGUACAUACACUCUUUAUCUUGAUCGUUGACUUUGGCAUGCAUGACUCCCAGUAGCCAUGUGUACGCGACCCUUUGUAUCUCUAUCGGGCCUGCUUCUUGUGUGAUGGCUACUAAAUUGCCACGACUUAGGCAUUCAUAAGCAUAGUGCUCCUUACUCUCGCAGAUGAAGCACCUUUCAAAAUUUUUCCCCAACUUAUAGUUAUUCACGUGCUUUCUCUUUUGUGACUUGUUGUUGUUGAUGUUACCUGAUCUCUGGGCAAAUCUUAGCUUGUCUCUCCCACUCUUUAUGUUGUACAGUUUCUUGCCUUUGUCCUUGGCUGGUUCCUUCUGUUGAAACUCUAUCAGCCUUUAGGCAGUUUUUUAUGACUUGGGAGACAUUCUAUGGAUCCUUGUCUUCCACCUGUUGUUUAGCCUAUGGCCUUAGGUCAUCUAGAAACAUGAACAGCUCGUUUUUUAGUGCCAUGUUAGGAAUUUCCAACAACAAGUUGGAGAAUUUAUCGAUAUACUCCUUCAUAUGCUCGUCCUUAUGUUGGAAAUGACAGAAUUUGGCCCUUGUCUCAUGCUUGACAUUGACCGGAUCAAAUUCGACCUUCAACUCGGCCUUGAAUAUGCCCCAUACAGUAAUGGCAUCGUCCCCAUGUUACCCUUUGUUGCACUUCCGUUUCCACCAUAUCAGUGCGAAAUCUUUAAGAUAUAACCGAGUCAUCCUCAAGCAAGCAUCAUCCCUCAUGAUACCUAGAGCCUCGAAGUACUGCUCAAACACGUAGAGAAAAUUCUCGAUUUCUCACGCCUUCCUCUCUCUUUUUAAGCUUCUAGAUGUGGACGUCUAUCCUUGGUGCAGUUACGGUCGCACCUACUAUCCCUUACGCUGUAACACGUCAACCUUGGCCCUUAACUUGGUAAACUCCUACCAAAUGGCUGAUGACUCUCCCAUGGGCACCCUAACACCCUAUGCUAGUUGAGUCUUGUACGACUCCAACUCACCCUUGAGUUGGACGAUCUUCUCAUGUAAAAACUCAACUAAGUCCCAAAUAGUAUCGUUCCCCUUCACUAGUUGGUCUAUGGCCUCAUUGAGUACACCUUGCAUGCCCUCACCGUCCAGCUGCUCCUUGCAUUGGUCUAGCUCGUCCCACCGGUCGUGAUGAUCAGUUACGGUUAGCUCCCCUCUUACUAACCUUGAUUCCAGAGCUGUCAUUGAGUCUGGUAUGGCCAACUUGUCUCUCUUGCCCUUACCACGAGUAGGAGCGGCUUUAUCUAAUUUUCUCGCGACAUGCUCCUCAUGCGGUUCCUUUGUGACGUCUGAAGCUGUUGCCAUCAUUCCAUGACUUUGUGAUGGUAUCAAGCUCUGAUACCAUUUAUCAUAGGCUGCUUAAAUUCCUAUAAGCACUCACUUUGUACGGUACUAGCAGUUGUCCAAGACUCUAGCUAUGAACGCCUUGCUAGUUCAACCUAAACGCCUACGUGCAUGAGAGUUGUGUGGAAGCGUAAAAGUAGUAGACAAAGAGAGAAGUGUUGGAGGCUAAGGAAAACUUGUAUUGCUCUUGAACAAAUGUUACAAGGUGUCUUACAAAUGAGGGGGCUUGACCUUUUUAUAGGCAAGCCAAGAAAGCCAUACAAAGUUCUAAAAAUCACUACACUAUGUCUUCCUACAUUUAGUCUCUAGAAACUUCUAUACAUGCAUACAUUCUUAUGUAAAAACUCAAGACUUCUCCAAGAGCAAUCUGGAAGCCUCUAAGACUUGCUACACACUUCUACUAGUGUUUGGAGUAGCCUCCAUGCUUUGGAUAAACCCCCAUGGCUUGCCAAGUAUUUGGGGGAAUAGAGUGUGGGUCUACUAGCAGCCCUAGUUUUUCUGCCAAGACACUAUAUACGACAAUGCAUGGCUGGGCCGGCCAGAUACGGUCGCUUGCGGUUGAUGUGCGGACUGUGUCACUAUGACCAACUUUAGAAUCUUUAAUUUAGCCUAAAGAGACACUGUCCAAUAUCUCUUGAAGAAUUUCUGACCUAACUAUAUUUUAUCAAUAUCUAUGAAAGUCUAGCCUAGAAGUUUCUAUCUUGACAUAGGAAUCAACCGAAAACUAUUGUAAUAGUUUAAGGUAGUGCAGCAGCAUUGACUCAUCACUAUCUCUCAUUUGAAACCUAUAACAAAAAUACUCUCUAGCUGAUACUGUGUCCUCUUCAUUCUUUCCACGAUCGAGAAUUGUAUAGAACAAAAGAAAACUAUCAAACUAAAGUAGAAAAGGUUAUAAUGUUCACACCUAAUAGCUACAAGCAGCUGCAUUCCAAAUCAAGCAAAUGUGAGGGGUUGUCAAGAAAACAAGGAUCAACAUAUAAAUCAUCCUCUGAAGAAUCCCCAUUUCUCUUCCUCUUGCAAAGUACCAUGGUGCCAUCCACAUUCAACUUGAGAAAAGAAAAUAAGGUAUUGCAAAGGAUCAUAACAACCAUAGUAAUGCUUAACUCUAUGGCUGGUAUUUGAGUGAGUAUAAACUUGAAUAUGAGCAUUUCUGUCUGCUAAUUCAUCAUCAUUCUGAGUCCAUAUGAUAACGACUUGCAAAGUAGUAGGCAGAUUAUAGAUGCGCUAGUCCAAACUAGGAUAACAAUUGAGCACAAUUUUAUAGCUGUCAAUGUUUGGGACAUUUCUAAGAUCCUUAAAGAAUAGCAAAAGGAUUGUUCGAAAGGGUACGUAUGAACAAUCUUAAAGUGCUUUCAUGCAACUUAUCAGAACUUCCAGUCCUUUGUGCUAAUUCUUCAUCAAUAUGAAAAGAGUAGAAUUGAAUUCCUGAUGGUUUUUCACUUGAUUGCAUCAAACUGUUAAGAAAGUGGUAAACUUGACCUUGAACAUGGAAAGUAUAAACACCUUUUAUGUUCUUGGUUAGUUCUGGAUCAUAGGAUCGAAAAUUAUUUUUGAAAUGAGCAUUUCCUCAUCAUUUUUAAUAAAAGACAUUUAAGAUCAUAAGGCAUUGACGAAGCUACAAUAGAGAUGUAUCCUCUAGAGCAGCAAAAGUUAGGAGGUUUCAAAUGGAAUCUCUUGGCUCCACAAUGCUCACAAUCAGGAGCAUCUGCGAGAGUCAAUGCUUCAUGAGGGAUUUCAUCAAUUUGAAAAAUAUGCCACUGCCUCCCUAUUUUAGGAGUAGCUACAUUUAUUUUGAAAUUCCAGCUGAAAAGUGAACUAAACUGUGCCCUUAUCAGGAUAAUUAAUAAUAGCAUCUAAAAAGGGUCAAAAAACUAUUGAGAAAUAAAAUGCCAACAUGAAGUCUGCUUCUCACAUGCUGACAAGAACAACGACUUUGACCAAAAGGUUGAUCUUUAUAUGAGAAAUGAGAAGAGUGGUCAAUUCUUUUUGCUUUCCUCAUAGAACCACUUUUCUCAAGACAUUCAAUAGACUCCCUCUCCUGAACAGAGGAGGUUUCUACAACUGUAUAAAGGAAUAAUCUAACAAAAGGGGCUAAUGCCAUUUCAAUGUAUACAAUUAACAUGUGGUGGGAACUAAAUAAUAUUCAGGUAGUUAGUGCUAAGAAUAUUUGUUGUUUGAAAAGACAUACCUUGAGAAGCAGACGCUGUUUCAGAAGUUUGUUUCUCAAAGGGUGGGAUUUUUUUUUCAAAUGUAAUCGUUUGUGCCUUUCAUUGAAGAAAGACUGCAGUUGACCAGACUUCAUAUAAGCCUUGGCCAAAGAAGAGUACUCUAAAACAUUUUCAAAAUGUUCAUGAGCAAGGAAAAGAUCUUUGUCAAUGCAAGAAGGUUGCACGGGCCUAUCAGGAAGAUGAGAAAAACUGCUGGUCUUGUCAACCAACACCAUAGGUACAAAGUGAGCAAUUCCAAUUCCAGAAUUUUGCUUUUCAAAAGAUACAUCUUUUUUUUUUUUUGUAGAAAUUGAUUUGCAUGAACAGUAGUUACGAGAGAAUACAACUCUUUAGAGUUUAUAGAAACAUGAGUUGAAGAACAAUAUUCAAUUGGAUUUUCAAAAUGAUCAUGCAUAAGUAAAUCUUCUCUAUCAGAGUAAGGAGUUUGGAUGACCUUAUUAGAACGAUCGAAGCAAUAUCUUGAUCGAUUAUGCAACAUUAUAGGUAUAGAGUUCCUAUUCUUUCUCCUAGGCACACGAAAAUCAGGCUCGACAGUAGAAGAAGGGAGGUUCAAAUUUUUUCCUUUUUCAAGAAGGAAUUUUCCUUGACAGCUCCUAAGAUCAGCCUUAGUAGUUAGUGGAAACUCUGCGAGUUACCAAUGAAGACACAUUUAUUUUUAAAGAAUCGAAAUAUAGAACCAGCAACCAGUAGGUAAGGAAAUGAUGUUGCUCUAAAAACUAACACUUGUAAGAAUAUUUGCAUUUGGCAUGUAAUUUGCUCUUGCAGGAGAGGAAAUAGAAUGGCUGUGAGGAACAAAAGAAGCAGGCUCACGAGAGGACAUGUACUGUAUAGGUGGCAAAUAAAUCCAUUUAAUUAAAUUUAUCCAUAUCCGUCCAUGAAUAGAUGGGCAUGCGUAUCUUAAGUUUUUAUAUAUAGACAUAAAUGGAUUACCCAAUAAUAACCAUUUAUUAAAUGGGUAUUAUUGGGUAACCUAUCAAAUCCAAUUAAUCUAUUUAGAAUUGUAACCCAUCAAACCUCCUCUCUUCCCCCACCUUUUUUUUCAGAUUUUUAAUUUUAUUAUGAUGUUAACUACUUUUGUUUCAUUAUUAUUAUUAUUAUUGUUUAUUGGUUUUAUUUUAUCAUUUUAUUUUAUUUUAGUUUGUUAACUUGCUUAUUUUUCAACAUUACCAAUUUAUGACAAGUUUUAGCCUUUUUUCUUACCUUUCCAAAAUAAAAUUUUAAAUUUACACACAAAAAAAUGCUAGAGUUUCAAGAUUUUUUAAUUAAGUUUUUAUGUUAACUUUUAUAGUACUUAGUUCAAUGUAUAUUCUUAUUGUUCAAUUAUUAAAUAUUAUGUAAUUUUACGACAUAGAGUACAGAUGAAAAAAAAUUGGUAAUUAGCCUUAUUGAAUAUUAUAAGUAAAUAUUUAAAACUAACGAUGGGUGCAAAAUAUGGAGUAAAUUGAUACUUUAGUUUGCAAAAAUGAAUUUAAAUGAGUUUACAAAAAGUUAAAAUAAAUUGAUUAUAAAUGGCUAAUUGAGUUACCCAAUUCAAUUUUUGACUUACUCAUCUAUACCCAUCUAAUUAAAUGGAUAUAAAUGGGUUGACUCACUUACAUCCAUUACCCAUUUUAACCAAUUCAAACCCGUCUAAAUCACCCAUUUUGACACAUCUACUGUAAUGCCUCGGUAAUCACAUCGACAUUAUCAUGACUGCUCUUAAAACCCCCAUAUUUUAACAUCUCACCGUGCAUAGAAGGUUGAUUCGUACUAUAAAAUUUUCUAUGAUGAGUAUCAGGAAAAGAAACACUCGAUUCCACGUAACCAAGUGGAACCUUACGAAUACGGGGAGUAGAGCUGUUAAACGAGCCGAGUCGAGCUCGAGCAUAGGACAAUCGAGCUCGACUCGAACCUCUAAUCGAGCUAGCUCGAGCUCGCUCGAUUAGUAAUUCGAGCUCUACAAGGCGCUCGAACUCGACUCGAUGUACUGAUAGAAAAUCGAGCUCGGGCUCGAGCUCGAGUUUUGAAAUCGAGCCGCCGAGCUCGAAGCUCGAACUCGAGCUUGCCAUUCAACUUCUUAAUUUGGCUUGGCACCACUCCAAUCUAUUUUAGUACUAGUAGCAGCAGCAGUAUUAUUAUUUAUUUAUUUAAAACAAAAGCCAAAAAAAAAAAAAAGAAAGUAAACCCACAUAUGCUUUAUGUAAAUCACUUUGUCGAGGGGGUCAUUAACCACAUUUUGAGUACAACAUCCUGCUACAUUUUAUCAUUAUUAUGAACAUGAACAAACAAAUGUAAGCAGAGCAGAGCAGGGACUGGAGGGGGCAAAAAUAGCAGUAGCAACAGCAACAACAACAACGAUGGUCAUAAUAAUAAUGAUAAGAAGAAGAAAGGAACACGGAUGGAUGUUCUCCAGUACAAAAUUUACUUUAAAAUCUUGGAAAUAAAUCUCUCUCGCUGCAUAUAUAUAUAUAUAUAUGUAUAUAUAUCAUAUACACUUGACACUUGUCCAGUGUGAAAGUGAAAGAGAGACUUUUGCUCAAGCUCCUGUAUUUUUCGCCUGAGGAGCAUUAGCAACUCAAAAAUUGGCCACAGAUCUACGUCUGACUAGUUUCACCAGCAUUUCCAGGCCUGGUAUUUAACAGAGGUUGCAAUGCUUUGACUACGAUGCUCAUGUUGGGUCGGAAAUCAGCUUCAUAUUGCACGCACAACGCAGCAACAGCAACCAUCUGCAUUUCAAAAAUUAAAAAAACCGCAAUUGGUGCAAAAUGGACACCUGCUUUAAUUUACUUGACUCUCUACAAAUAAACAUGGCAUCCCAGGUGGCUCCGUAUGGCGCUGCUCCAUAUGGUGGCUGCGGCUGUGAAACGGGAAAGAGAUGACAGAAAGGGGAAAUCAAAAAUUAGGGAUGGCGCCUGGCAGUGAGAAUGAAGUCUGCAGGGUGCGGCGUGAGAAUGGAGGCUGCGGGGUGCGGCGGCGUGAGAAUGGCAGCUGCGGCUGUGGAACGGAAAAAUAGAUGACAGAAAGGGGAAAUAAAAAAUUAGGGCUGUGGAACGUGAGAAUGGCGGUGGUGAGAAUGGAGGCUGAGGGAUGCGGCGUGAGAAUGGAGGCUGAGGGAUGCGGCGUACGGUGGCGUGAAAAUGGAGGCUGCGGGGUGACGGCUGUGGGAGGAGAAAAUGAAAGACCAAAGAAGGAAAGCAUGAAUUAGGGCUACAGACGGACGGGAGAUGCCUUUGACUAGAGUAACCCAUACACAUUAAAAUGACAAAAAUGCCCUUAUUUUUCGAGCCUACCGAGCUUACAGGCUCGGUUCGUAUAUUAAACGAGUACCUAUUAGAGCUCGAGCUCGGCUCGUUUCUCUCUGUUAACGAGCCGAGCCGAGCUCUUAUCGAGCAGGGUCGAGCUCGGCUCGCGAGCUGCUCGGUUCGAUUAACAGCACUGACGGGGAGUAAAUGCUUAUCUUUUUUUCUUGGCAUCACUAUCCUCUCUUUGACGUUGUAGAAGUUCCAUUUUUUUCAACGAUGGCAUUUCUGCAUACCUUUUGCCGCGAGUAACAUUUCUACCCAUUCGAUAUAAAUAAAGGAUAUCUAACUUAAUAACAAAAAAUUUAAACUGAACACUUACGAAGAAUAUAGAGAGUAAAAAUCAAACUAAUAGCAGGGAGUCAGAGGAGUUAACAGUUAACAACUGAGCAAGGAACAAAAAAAUAACAAUAAAAAAAUAAUCAAGCAGGUAAAUAUAGUGCAUGAUACAGGCAUUUUUUGUAGCAAUAGAACAGUAUCGGAAGCAAAAUAGCAGCUCCUAUAUGCAAUGAAUAAGGAUCAUAAAAAAAAUAAAGAAAGCAAAGUUCCAAACUGAAAGAAGUAAAACUGGAGCAGCAUGCAAGUAACGAUGCACCAAAAAAUGCACAUUAAAGAUGUUCAAAUUAAAGGUUACAAAUUAAAAAGGAAAAGAAGAAGAAAAUCAGAAUCACUAACCUGUGUGUAUGAAGAAACUCCACACGGCAGAACUGAAUAACAGCAAAAGCUACCAAAGAAACCAUGAUCACAUAAAAGGUAAUAAGAAAAGGGGACAAAAAGGGAAGAAAAAGAGAAGAUGAAUUGGUGAUAAUAAUUUAGAAGGGAGGGAAAGAUUUUAAAUGGUUGAACCAGUGCAUGAGAAAGCAGAGAAAUAAAGGAAGAAAACAAAUAACAAAUCAACAAGACAAUAAUUCUCAAAUACUUGAACAAUUAAAGAAUAGGAAAGUAAAGUGAACUCUAAAACAACGUACUCACUAGCAAACAGCAAUAACAGCAGCAGUGCAAGCUAAAACCAAACCAAUAAAUUAGAAAGAAUGAAGGGUCAAGAUAGCAAAAGGAAGUGAAGAACACUGCUUAUAAGAUAGUCCUUUCUGUCUAGCAAAGAAACGAGCAAUAGAACAGAAGAAAGAAUGCAGUAGGUGCACAUUUACCACUGAUCAUGAUGAUAAUCAGCAAAAAAUCCUACGUGAAAAACUAGAUAAACUCUACAACCAUUAUGCAAACAAAACACAAAACCACCUCGAGCAACGACAGCAAAAAAAGGUGAUUGUUGACAAGAGUGAAGGGUGGCGGUUUUUCCAUCUUUACAGACACAACCUUAAGUAAAGGAGAAAAAGACUACAAGGCUAUUGAGUGUAAACGUAAAUGCACACACAAGGGAUCGGUAAUAUAGUGAAAUGAAGCAUACAUUAUUCAGCUCAGGUACAACUACUUUUCGCCAAAAUAAGGCUAAUGACAAAUAAUAUAUGAGGAUACGGUGGAGUAGGAAAUCGAGAAAGCAUGCAUUUGAAUUGAAUGAACAAAAUACCGACUAUAGACUAAAUUAGUCAAUUAUUAGUUGUAAGAAAUAUGAUAUAGAAGUACAAGAGUGUGUUGAGUCAAACCAGAAAAUUCAAGAGAGGAUUCUAUAGAAAUAAGUUUACACAAAUGGGGAUCAAGACUUGAUGAAUUCAAGGCGUUUAAUCACUUUCCUUGAAGUUUGAUUGCCCCCACUAUCUUGCUAAUCCGGUCUCUGGGCAAAAACUCUAGAAUACAAUGAAUUCUAAUUAGACAACCAAGUAGCAAGUUCUUGGAUUUGUCUAGUCAAGAAUAAAAAUGCUUAAGUUAGUUUUCUGGUGUUCAACACAUUGAUUUAUACACCCACAACACUCAGAAAACUGUUAGAAACUGUUCACAUGUAACCUUUCAAAGGAACAUGCAGUUUCACUGUGAAAAGGUGCUUCAAAAGGUGCAAACCUUUCCUAUUUUGCAAACUACCUUAACAAUCCCCCACUUAAUUUGCAAAAUAGAAAGUCAAACUAACACUGAAAGUUCAUGCAUCAAGGAAAGUAACUCUCGUCUUAAACUCCCCUUGCUGAAAAAUUAAGUUUCGAUCUGAUUUGGUCGUUCUGGAUUAGACGUAGGCAUGUCUAACUCAUAGGAAGUCUUCUGUUUUGUAACUGAAACUUUGAUCUUUAAGCGUGAUCACUUAGCGUGGGCACGCUUAACUCGUUCCGGAUUAGACGUGUGCACGUCUAACUCAUAGAAGUCUUCUGAUUUGUAACUGGAACUCUGAUCUUUAAGCGUGAUCACUUAGCGUGGGCACGCUUAACUCCUAAGGAGUCUUCUAGUCACCAAACCAAAAUACACAUUUAAGUGAAACCCUUGGUCGCUAGAUUGCUUAAACCAAGAUUCACAAAACUAAGAAAUAUCACAUACAUGAAUCAUGUAGCAUUUAUAUAUUCACAACCAUCAGUAGCACUGUGCUCAUCCUAUUCAUGAUCAUAUAUAAGAGAUCACCCAAAACUCUUGUUAGAAGCGGCACCACUUCUAUGACCAUAUAGGUAAACUAUAUUUCUAGUUUUAACAAAUAAAACACAAGAAAUAUGUUUAUUAAGAGUUACUUCUCAUCCUACUCACUUAAGAGUAACGCAUAACACUACUAAUUGGAAUGAUCUACACACAAAAAUGUAGUGUUCACUAUCACUUGAAACAACUUGUUAUUACCCUUUAAACCUUCCAAACUAGGGGCAGUACUAGAAGAAAGGUUGGGUUACCAUUGUUAAGUGAUUUUAGUAUAAGGGUUUUAAUCCCAUUCCGGAUGUUGUUACAUUCACUAACUCUCUUGUUACAGGUUUAGUCAACGGAUCCGCCAAGUUUUUGUGUGUUCUUACAAACACAAUACUGACAACAUCACUUGCAAGUAUUUGUCUUAUAAAUGCAUGUCUCAAGCUUAUAUGUCUAGACUUACCAUUGUAAACUUUAUUCAAUGCUCUAGACAUAGUAACUUCACUAUCACAAAAGAUAGUUGUUGGAGGCAUUGGUUUAGGCCAAAAAUCAAUAUCGAGUAAAAGAUCUCUUAGCCACUCAGCCUCUUUACAAGCUGAAGAUAGUGCAAUAAAUUCAGCUUCCAUGGUUGAAUGAGUUAUCACCGUUUGCUUCUUUGAAACCCAUGAGAUAGCUCCACCACCAAGCAUAAAAAUCCAACCACUAGUCGAUUUUUGCUCACUAAAACUAGUAAUCCAACUAGCAUCUGAAAACCCCUCAAGAACACUAGGAAAACUAUUAUAAAAGAGGAGAAAAAUGCAAUUUUGGUACCUAAAUUUUGACGCACGAGCAGUUUUAGUCCCUAAAUUUUGGACGAAAACAAAUUUGGUACCUGAACUUUUAAAUUUUGAGCACAUUAAGUACCAUUGAUGAUUUUUUUUCAAAUUGUUACCGGAAAAAGCCAUGUGACAGUCACGUGUUUGGCCAAAAUAAAAUUUAAAAAGGCUAAAAAUGCAGUUUUGGUACCUAAACUUUGACGCACGAGCGGUUUUAAUCCCCAAAUUUUUGACGAAAAUAAAUUUGGUACCCGAACUUUCAAAUUUUGAACACAUUAAGUACCCUUGAUGAUUUUUCUUAAAUUAUUAUCGAAAAAAACCAUAUGAUAGUCACGUGUCUGGCCACAAUUGUAUAAAAAAAAAGGCCCAAAAAAUGUCAAAUGCCAUUCUAAUACUAAGUAUUAAAUUUAAGGACUAAUAGCAUAAUAAAGAAAAAAUUUAAGGACUAAAUAACAUCACAUGAGUCAACAAAACCCAAGAACCGAUACAAAUGAGGCCACAAAUUUUAUGACUUGAUUCUUAGAUUAAUGUACUGGAAUUGGAUGUCAUUUGUAUCGGUUCUUGGUUUUUGUUGACUCAUGUGAUGUUAUUUAGUCCUUGAAUUUUUUCUUUAUUACGCUAUUAGUCCUUAAAUUUAAUACUUAGUAUUAUAAUGGCAUUUGGCAUUUUUUGGCCUUUUUUUUUAUACAAUUAUGGCCGGACACGCGAUUGUCAUAUGGCUUUUUUCGGUAACAAUUUGGAAAAAAAUCGUCAAGGGUACUUAAUGUGCUCAAAAUUUGAAAGUUUGGGUACCAAAUUUGUUUUUGUCCAAAAUUUGGGGACUAAAACCGCUCGUGCGUCAAAGUUUAGGUACCAAAACUGCAUUUUGACCUUUUUUUAUUCCAUUUUGGCCAGACACGUGACAGUCAUAUGGCUGUUUCCGGUAACAAUUUGAAAAAAAAUCGUCAAAGGUACUUAAUGUGCUCAAAAUUUGAAAGUUCGGGUACCAAAUUUGUUUUCGUCCAAAAUUUGGGGACUAAAAUCGCUCGUGCGUCAAAGUUUAGGUACCAAAACUGUAUUUUUCUCAUAAAAGAGCCCAAGAUCUUUGGUUCUUUUAAAAUAACCAAUCACUCUACAAAUAGCUUUCCAAUGAUCUUUACUUGGAUUUUUAGUGUAUCUAGCUAGUUUACAAACGGAGUAUGAAAUAUCCGGCCUAGUGCAACUCAUUGCAUACAUAAGACUACCAAUAACACUAGCAUAUUCUAGUUGAGCUAUUGGUUUACCGGUAUUCUCAUACAGUUUAAAGUUAGGAUCAAAAGGGGUGCCAACUUCUUUCACAUUUAAAUAUUGAUACUUCUUUAAUAUUUUCUCAACGUAAUGUGAUUGAGACAGGGCAAAACCCCCACUAUGUCUUUUAACUUUAAUCCCCAAGAUAGUAUAUACUUUACCAAGAUCUUUCAUUUUGAACUUAGAAGAUAAAUACUUCUUAGUUUCUACUACACCUUUAAGUGUAGCACUAACAAUUAGCAUGUCAUCCACAUACAAACAAAGAAUCACACUAUACUCACUAUUGGAUUUAGAAUAAAUGCACUUAUCAGCAUUAUUGUACCUAAAUCCACUAGAGAGUAAAACAGAUUCGAAUUUCUCAUGCCAUUGUUUUGGAGCAUGUUUCAAGCCAUAUAAAGACUUCACUAGUUUACACACCUUAUGUUCAUUACCCGGGAGUACAAAACCUUCCAGUUGUUCCAUGUACACCUCCUCGUUCAAAUCACCAUUUAAGAAAGCUGUUUUAACAUCCAUUUGAUGCACAUGAAGGCUAAAAACAGAAGUUAAAUCUAGUAGUACUCUAACAGAGGUUAUCCUAGCCACAGGUGCAUAUGUGUCAAAAUAGUCUAUUCCUUCCUUUUGUCUAUAGCCUUUAGCCACUAAUCUAGCCUUGUAAGCAAGAAUAGUUCCAUCGGUGGCAUAUUUCUUGCGAAAUACCCACUUACAACCAAUAGGUUUAGAACCUUGAGGCAAGUCGACAAGAACCCAAGUAUUUUUAGACAAUAUUGAGUCCAUUUCAUCAUUCACAGCCUCUUUCCAAAAUGCAGCAUCUCUUGAUUUCAUAGCUUCAUCAUAUAUCUUAGGAUCAUCCUUUACACUCAACAAAAUUGGAGUUUUAUUUAGUAGAGAAUCUCUAUUUUCUUCUACUAGAAAAACAAUAGCUUGAAGAGACACAAAGUCGGGGGGCAAUUGUUUUUCUUUUCUUUGUCUUUGACUCCUCCUAAGUUCACUAGGAGUAUCAAUUUCUUUCCUUUUUGUACCACUAGAAGAGGCUGCAUUUGGAGAGGAUGGACCUAUAGUGACUAUUGAGUUUUUAAGAAACUUAUCUUCAAAGAACUCAACAUCCCUUGACUCAACUAUUAUAUUUGAACCAAGAUCAAGUAGUCUAUAGGCUUUCGAAUUUUUUGCAUAGCCAACGAACACACUUUUAAGGGCUCUAGGUCCCAAUUUAGUCCUUUUAUUAUCAGGGACCCUAUAGUAGGCUAUACAGCCCCAAAUCCUUAAAUAAGACAGAUUUGGUUUUCUAUUUUUCCAUACUUCAUAGGGAGAAUUUCUACUUUUUAAGGAAGGAAUUCUAUUAUGAACAUGACAUGCAACUAACAAAGCUUCAUCCCACAAAUUAUUUGGCAACCCUGAACUCACAAGCAUGGAUUUAACCAUAUCUUCAAGAGUUCGAUUUUCCUUUUAGCCAAACCAUUUUGUUGUGGUGUGUAUGGUGCACUGGUUUGGUGUACAAUUCCACUUUCUUCACAAAAUUUUGAGAAUUCACUAGGGAAGUACUCACCCCCUCUAUCACUUCUCAAAAUUUUAAUUUUCUUAUUUAAUUGAUUUUCUACUAAAGCCUUGUCUGUUUUAAACAUACCAAAUACUUCUUCUUUGUGUUUCAUAAGAUACACAUACACAAACCUAGAACAAUCAUCUAUGAAUGUGACAAAGUAUCUAUUUCCACCUCUAGUUAGAAAACCAUUGAACUCACACACAUCAGAAUGCACAAGAUCAAGCAUUUGUGUUUAUCGUUCAACUUUAGGAAAAGGCAACCUUGUAAUCUUGGCUUGAAUACAAGUUUCACAUUUCUUAUUUUCAAGGUCAUUAUAUGAACUUAGGCCAUCUUUAGACAUAAAUUUCAACACCUUAUGAUUCACAUGUCCUAACCUACCAUGCCAUAAAAAAUAAGAACAAGUAGAAGAAGUAGAAGCCAAAGAGUAAACAGAAAUAUCAUUCACUUUAUUAAUACUCAACUUGAACAUUCCAUUACAAGAAUAGCCAUUUCCUACAAAUACACCAUUCUUUGACAAAAUUACAUUAUUUGACUCUAGUACAGCCUUCAAUCCCUUCUUGUUAAGAAUGUCCGCAAUCAUUAAAUUCUUAACAAUAUCGGGAACAUGAAGUACGUUGGUAAGGACCAACUUUUUACCGGAUGUGAAUUGAAGAUGCAUAUCCCCUUUGCCAUGAAUCUUGGCUCUCACUCCAUUUGCCAUGGCAACUUCAUGACCUUCAAGAAGUUCAUAACUCUUGAACUGAUUCUUAUCGUUGCAAACAUGAAUUGCAGCACCAGAAUCAUACCACCAAUCCUUUGAAGGCGUAGGUGUCGUCAUAUGAAGUUCAGUCACCGUACCAAGAGUCAUCAUUGCUACAAUUUCUGCACACUCAUCAACAAGAUUAGCACUUGGAGCAACAUUUUUUUUUAUUUCUUAUUGAGUUUGCACUCGGCCUUAUAAUGGCCUUUCUUACCACAAUUGUAGCAAUUUCUACUUCUUUUCUUAUUGUCUUUUGAAUUAGUAUUCUCAGGCCUCUUUCUCUUAUUACCAGAAUUCAUUUUCUCUUCAACCAUAUUAGUCUUAGGAGCAUCGUCAACUUCUAGUUUUUGAAGUAUUCUAGCCCCUUCUUCAAUUCUAAGAUGUUUCAAAACACUAGAUAAAGUUAAAGUUUCAGAAGUGUGAAGCAACUUCUUUUGGUAAUCAUUCCAUAAUGGUGGCAACUUAGCAAUUAUUGCACCAACUUGGAAAGAUUCAGAAACUUCAACACCAUAAUCUUUAAGUUUAGAAACUAUCACUUGAAGAUUAUGAAUUUGGUCCAUAAGAGAAAAGGAAUCAGCCAACUUAAACUCAAAAUAUUUCUUAAUGAGAAACUUAUCUGUGCCUUGCUUUUGGGUUGUAUACUCUCGCUCAAUUGCAGCCCAGAUUUCCCUUGGAUUUCGUACUCCUUGGAACAUAUCGUAGUAACUAUCCGAGAGGGUGUUGAGAAUGUGGCCUCGGCAAAUGAUCUCGUCCUCUUCACGCUUUUGCCUUUGAUUUGUCACUUCCUCAGACUCACCCUCCGCAGGAGCAAGAAUUUUUGGAAGAUUCGAAUUGAGUAUGUAAGCCACCUUCAAUGCAGUGAGGAAGAACAUAAGUUUGUCCUUCCAACGGUUGAAGUUGGUUCUGGUUCCAUCAAGUUUGUCCAACUUAACGAAAUCUUGGUUCAUGACUUUGAUGGCACUCUCUUGGGCAAACUCCAUUCUUGUCAAUCAAUCAAACUUCAAGAUUGUAAGAAAAAUGAUAUAAAAGUACAAGAGUGUGUUGAGUCAAACCAGAAAAUUCAAGAGAGGAUUCUGUAGAAAUAAGUUUACACAAAUGGGGAUCAAGACUUGAUGAAUUCAAGGCGUGUAAUCACUUUCCUUGAAGUUUGAUUGCCCCCACUAUCUUGCUAAUCCGGUAUCUGGGCAAAAACUCUAGGAUACAAUGAAUUCUAAUUAGACAACCAAGUAGCAAGUUCUUGGAUUUGUCUAGUCAAGAAUAAAAAUGUUUAAGUUAGUUUUCUGGUAUUCAACACAUUGAUUUAUACACCCACAACACUUAGAAAACUAUUAGAAACUGUUCACAUGUAAUCUUUCAAAGGAACAUGCAGUUUCACUGUGAAAAGGUGCUUCAAAAGGUGCAAACCUUUCCUAUUUUGCAAACUACCUUAACAUUAGUAAUAUAAGAAGUCAAGUUAUAGCAGGAAAAAGAAUGAAAGAAAAGAAUAAGAAGAAGCAUAUUUCUUAGUAGGAUCAAUAUCAACAUCUCCUCACAUAACAACUAACAAAUAAUUGGAAAACUUUGUUAACUUAUUCAAAUUAUUUCGGUAGCCAAAGAAUGACAGUAUAGUAUUUAAGCAAUUAACAAUUAGUUGCAAAAGAUUAGCCAAGGAAGGAUGAUUUUCUUAUGUAGAAACAAAGUCGUUGUUAAUCUAAAAAAAGAAACGGUAAUCAAAUGCAACAUGUUAGUAAAAAAUACAAAGCUAAUAACUUAAACAGGUGGCCAUUAAACAUAAACUAUUAAGGAUAAUAGGUGAAAAAAAUUAAAUAUGCAAAUAACGAUUAAGUAGAAAGGAAUGACAAUUGAACAUUAAUUGUUGGACACCCUUAAAAAAAACCUAAUUUUUUAAUAUAACUUUUUGCGAAGAAUUGAUGAUUACGUGUUUGGCACUUGAGUUUUUUGCCAAGUUUGUCUGCAACAAGUUUUUAAAAAAAUUUUAGCUACAGUAACCUCAAAAAACUUCUCAAAGUUUUUAAACUAUACAUUUUAAAAUAUUCAAAAAUUUGCACACUUCAAAAAAUUUUUAAAAACUUCUAUAAUAAGUUACAAUAAAGUUUUACACAAACACCCAAAAAACUCACUUGCCAAAUGGGCCCUAUUUUGUUAGACAACAGCAACAAAAAGGUAAUUUAAUUUUGAGGAGAUUUCAAGGAGUAAAUAUUGAAUGUAAUUCAAUGGGCAAUCGAAAAAAAACAUUAAUCACGGACAAAUGAAUAAAAAAAAAAUUGGCCUCUCAAAAUUUGAUAAUAAUAAUUAAAUGUCUCCCCCCUCAUUUUGCAAAGAAAGAAAAAACCAUUUUUUUAGAGUGAUGCGCCAUUUUCAAAUAGCUGAUAAUUAGACAUAAAAAUUUAGAAAAUAAAGUAACAAAAAAUAUUUAAUAAAUCAGCAAUUGAAAUCAAUCGCAAACAUUGGCAUUCCCCAAUAAACUAGAUAUGUUAAUAAACAUGUCACCAAUUUUGUAAAGAAAUGGUGUCGUAUAUUUAUAAUGAGUUUUAGUCACAUUCAUCUCCGAAUUUUAAUCAUACAGUUUGGGAUUUGUAUUGGAAUUUACCAGACAUUGAGCUUUGCUUGCAGCGUUUGGUAUAGCUCAUGGAAGCUUGGUAAUUGGACAAAAUUACUUUGUUGUCCUUUGUUGGAUUUAACUACACUUAACGAUGUUGCAGGGUUAAAUGAAAAAUUAAUCUUUGGCUAUGGUUAUUUACCUUUAUACCUUUAGUAAUAUCUAUGGACUGCAAUUUAAAACUAAUUUUGCGCAUUUAAUUUAAUUAGUGUAUUCAAUGUCUAAGCUUGCAUCUAUUGGAUUUUUAUUCAGAAUUGCCUCACCUUCAUUUUUCUUAUAAUUUAUUCGUUGCUAUAGUUGUUUACUUUUAUGCCUUCAGUGCUGCCUAUGGACUAAGUUUAAAAGUAAUUUAUUUUCAAAAAAAAAAUAAAAGUAAUUUUGCAUAUUUAAAUAAUGUAUACAUUGUUAAGCAUUUGUUAGAAUUUUUGUUUAGAAUUGGCUUACCUUCCUUUUUCUUCCGAUACUAAUAUUCAACCAUGUGAUUGAUUGAUCUUUCUUCUUUGUCCAUUUUGUAUUUUUUCUUAUUUGCUAUUUUCUCUUAUUACCUCUUUGGUUCUAGUAUUGAUCGAUUUUAGUUUUUUUUUUUUUAAAGUAGCUGUAGUCGCUUAUUGGGAUUGAGGUAAAUCCUUUGAGAUUUUUGGCUUGGGCUUAUCUAUUCUUGAAUUAAAAUUUUUAAAACUCAAUAUGGAGGUAGAUUAAUCAAAGAGGUUGUGGACACAUACCUAUACGACUAAGAGUACAAUAGAAAGUUCAAAAAGUUACAAUUGUAUUUAACACCAUACAAUAAUGCUCCGUUAUAUAAUUUGUAUAGACUAGUAAUUAAUGCACACCCAACGCAUGUGUAUGAAAUGUUUAAAAUAGUACAAUUUUCGAAAUCAUUUUUAUGAGAAUUAAUUUUAUAUUUUGAUAAAUAUAUAUAGAAAAUGAAUAAAGUGCGCUUAUUUGUAGUGGAUACUUCUUUAUUUAAUGCAUAAUGAAAAGGAAAAAAAAAUAAAAGUAAGCUCAUAAAGUGAAAUUCAACAGAUAAAAUUUUCAACAUAAAUUCCUUUUCUUUUGAAUGAGGGGCAUGCGCUUAAUAACAAAUAUAUAUUAAAAAUAAAGAUAAUAGCAAAUUGUGAUAACAAAUAGAUAUUACAAAAUAACAGCAAAUAGUAAAUUGUGCACCCUCAUGUGAGAAGUGAAACUUUUUUUCAAUCUAAUCUGACUUGGAUUUCUUUUCAUCUAAUUCGAUUGGUGGACCGAGAGCACAGACGAUUGUUAGUGACAAUCAUCCGAAAUAGUGUAAAGCUUUUUGACCGGGUUGUAAUUCGUAUUAAACACAUCGUAUAUCUUUACAACAGAUGUGUACUAUUCUAUUACUGUUCAUGUGAGUCCCAUACAUGAAUGUACAAACAGUUCAAUUUGAAUUACAACCCGUUCAAAAAUACUUAUCAUGUUCUAGAUGGUUGUCAGUGACAACCGUCGGUGCCCCUACUAUUCGACGGGGCUAGUUGGGCGCUUUUUCUAAUAUAAUGUUGUUGUUGAAAAACAAAGUAAAAACGAGCAAUAUAAUUUGAAGUUAAAAUAAAGAAUUCAAAUUAUUGUGGGGUCGCUUUCCUUGAGUUUGAGAACUGCGUGCAUCCUCUCAUCGAGAACUAUAAACGAAUCGAGCCCUUAGUGAACCAUUCGAGCUCGAAUCAUUAAUGAAUCGAAUCAAGUUCAAUUUUGAACAAGUUCGAACUCAAUUUAAAAUUAGUACAUGAAUUUUAUUAAGUAUCAAAUCAAAAACUUGUACCACAUUCGGCUCGUUAACGCUCGAUUUGACUUGAAUAAAUUUUUAUAUUUUUAUUUUAUAUAAUAAAUAUUUUAUACAUAAUAACAUAUUUAUUUUUUUUUUGGAAAAAUAACUUGUUUUAUCUCUCAUAUUUCAUAAAAAUAUUCUUUUCAUCUUUCACAUUUAAAAUGAAGCAAAUUGGUCAUUCACAUUUAAAAACCCAAGCUUUUACAUCCUAGAAAUAAACUCUCAGUUGUGAAUCAAACCAUCUAACAAUCCGAUUACAAAUUUUGUAGGUAGAAUUGGUAUAUCACUUGCAUUGUGAAUCAAACUAUCUAACAAUUUGGUUACAAAUUUUGGGGGUAGAAUUGAUAGAUCACUUGCAAAACACAUAUUUUUAAGGGUUUAGUGCUUGAGAGCUUUAGCACUAUUUCGUUCUUUUGAAGAAACAAAUGUGUUUUAAUUAAGAUUUUUUAAUUGCUUUAAUUUAUUUGUUAGAAAUAUGUUUUUGCGAGUGAUCUAUCAAUUCUACCCUCAAAAUUUGUAACCGGAUUGUUAAAUAGUUUGAUUCACAACUGAGAGUUUAUUUCUAAAAUAUAAAAGUUUGGGUUUUUAAAUAUGAAGGACCAAUUUGCUUCGUUUUAAAUGUGAGGGACAAAAAGAACAUUUUUACAAAAUGUGAUGGAUGAAACAUGUUAUUUUCUCUAUUUAUUUUAUAGAUAUUAUAUAUUUGUUAUUGAUAAACCAAUAUUAAAAUAUAUUUUGAACUCUCGAAUCAAACUAGAAACUACUUAAUAUUAAAUCGAAUCCAGUUUGAACUUAAACUUUAAACUCGAAUUGGAAUUCAAGUUCAAAACUCCAAAUUGCGCUGGACAGUUUCAAAAUUGAAUGAGUUUGUUUGGAUAAGAAUUUAUUUGGAUGAUUUAUUUGAUCUAGUUACUGUAGUACUUUUUGUAAUGUGAUGUAUGUGAGAUAAAAAGGUGAUUGGGAAUUGUGUGUAUGAUGCAAGCAAAACAAAAUCUGAAAUAAAUCUUGCAAAUUUUCUUUGUCCAAACAAACCCAACGAUUAUUCGGUUCGUUUGUGGCCAUACUCCUAGACAAAACAGCCGUUAAAAUUUGGUAUGGGCCCAGCCGGAAACCCUUUUGAUUGGGUCAUAAUAAUCCGAAAUUGACGACGUUGUAUUCAGAAAGCUUCCCACUGUGCCUGAUCAGUAAACAGGUCAUUUCAGACUUGGAGAGUUGGAGUGGCGAUGAAGAGAAGAGCGGCUUCAUUAGGUACUGCUGCUGCUGCUAAUUGUACUACUCUCGCUUCAUUUCUCUCUGCAUUUCCAAGCCCUAAACCCCAAUUAGCUUUCUGUUCAGCUAUAGCAACUAGUAGUGAUAAAAUUAGAAAUCAUCAGCACCAAAUUGGAACGUCUUCUGGUAAUGUUUUGCAAUUUCUUUCUGGGUUGAAGGGUAGGAUUGAUAGUAUUGACAAUCUUGAUGAUGCUCUUAGCUUAUACCAGCAGAUGGUCCGGAUGAGGCCUCUUCCCUAUGUUUUUUAUUUCAAUCGACUGGUGGACCGCAUUGUUAAGAUGAAGAAGCAUUAUUCAUCUGCUGUCUCAGUUUUCAGAGAUAUGUACGUCAGGGGCAUUCCUCUUAGUGACUACACCCUCAAUGUUGUGAUUAAUUGUUACAGCCUCAUGGGUCGAGUGGAUUUGGGGUUUUCUGUAUUGGGUGUCUUCUUCAAGCGUGGUAUUCUGCCCGACAUAGUCACCUUUAGUACUCUACUUAAAGGACUAUUUCGGGAACAUAAGGUUCUCCAAGCACAAGAAUUGUUUAAGAGGAUAAUUUUCGAAAAGCUUUGCGAGCCCAAUGAAGUUAUGUUUCUGAUUGUGAUAGAUGGGCUCUGUAAGGUGGGCAACACUCAAAAGGCUGUUGAAUUCCUAAGAGUCAUGGAAAAAAGAAGAAGAUGUAAGCUCAAUGUUAAUGUGUACAAUACUAUCAUUGACAGCUUUUGCAAAGAUAAAAUGGUCGGUGAAGCUUUUGCCCUUUUGCAGGAGAUGAUUGAAAAGGGCAUUCCCCCAGAUGUUGUCACUUAUAAUUGUUUGAUUGGUGGUCAAUGCAAUUUAAAUAGAUGGAAAGACGUUACAAAGCUCUUUUCUGAGAUGAAGGAUUACAAAAUUACUCCAGAUGUUGUUACUUUCAAUAUAGUGGUGGAUGCACUGUGUAAGGAAGGACAUAUCGAAAUUGCUGAAGAGGUAGUCGGCAUCAUGAUUAGGCAAGGUCACAAUCCCAAUCUGGUCACAUACAGUUCCUUAAUGGAUGGAUACUGUUUAAAGCGCCGAAUAGAUGAAGCAAGGAGGGUCUUUGAAGCCAUGGUUAUUAGCGGCCUUACUCCUGACCUCCAUAGCUAUGGUAUUCUGAUAAAUGGCUAUUGCAAGCACAAGAAAGUGGAAGCAGCCAUGAAUAUCUUUCGUGAGAUUCAGCAUAAAGGUUUAACACCUAAUAUUGUUGUUUAUAACAUUGUCUUGCAGGGGUUAUAUAGCGUAGGAAGCUAUCUUAGUGCAAGAGAAGUUUUCGAUGAGAUGCAAACUGCUGGCAUAAAGCCUAAUUUUUACACUUUCUGUUUGAUGUUGGAUGGAUUAUGCAAGACUGGACAUGUCGACGAAGCAUUGCAGUUAUUCCAUUCAAUGGAAGCUGAUGGAAUCGAUCAUCAUAUAGGCAUGUACAGUAUCAUCCUUGAUGGUUUGUGCAAAAGUGGGAGGCUAGAUAGUGCUCUUGAUCUUUUUGACAAUCUCAAUGAUAAAGGAUUGGAUCCUAAUGUCCCAACAUACACCACAAUGAUUGCUGGCCUGCUUUCACACGGCCUGCUCACCGAAGCUAAAGAGCUUUUUGGAAAAAUGGAAGAAAAUGGUUGCCUGGCAGAUAGCGUUACAUUCAAUGUUAUUCUGCAACAACUCCUUAAAGGAGGCCAUUAUGAUGAUGCAAUAGUCUACCAUGAAGAAAUGGUUCGUAGAGGUUUCUUGCUAGAUGCAUCUACUUUUUCCAUUUUACUUGAUUCAUCUACUGAAAACCAGAAAAAUCCUUCUCUACUUAUGUUGAUGCUGAAGAUUGGUCCUGAUAGCAAGAAGUUUAUGGAUGGGGGGUAAAGAGGACCUUCACAUUGGUUGCAACUUUUGGUCCUACUGGUUUUUGGCCCCUAAACUUUAACUAACAUUAUAUAGGUUUGCUUUUGAUUCUGUUUUAACUUAUCAUCUUUAUGGAAUAUAAGAAGUGUUGCAGCUGAGCCUUGAGUAGCUCUCUUGGUCAUAUUUUGUGAAAUGCCUCAAAGCUCUUCAGUCCAGGUGGAAAAAGCUGUGGUCUUUAAGGGAAGUUCAAUUUAUAACUGUACUGGUGUAGCAGUUCACAGAAGCCUGCUGGUGUUAAUUGGAUAUGUACAGCUUCUUCAGAGAGACUUCUUGCUUAUCCUUUCUUAGAGAACUUCAGCGUAGCAUAUCACUUAAAAGGUAACUUGUACGGCUCCUUUUCUUUGUGUUUCAUGGGUUUUAGUACUUUUUGCUUGCAUGUAACUUUAGUUUGGAUAACUAAUAGCUGAAUUCAUUGGAAUUAAGAAUGAAACUUCAUCUGAAAAUAUAAUUUUUUUAUCUGGAUUUAUAGAAAGGUUUAGUUACAAGCUGCAUUUUUAAUAAUUUGGAGGAAGUUUUUUCUUGUAAGCAGAAUAAAUUUGUUACCUUUUUUCAAUUCCUAAAUGUAGCCAAAGGUGCAGCCAGUUUAAACGUGUAAAAAAUUUUUGCACCAGUAUCUUGGUUUGGGUUAAAAUUUUGAGGUCCCAUGGAUGGUCAUGGCUGUUGACUUCUGUCACUGCAUUUGAUUGGAGGCCAACUUUUCAAGUAUAAUCCAGAAAAUGUAUUCUGAUCACUUUCCGUUUAACUAUAAACUAAACUACACAAGGAUCCUUAGUAGCGAACCUUUAAAUCCUUUAAUUUGUAGGCAUUGGUAAUCGUUCAACAGUUUUAUCAGUAUAAGAACUCAUUGAGCUUUUAUUAUUUAAAAUUAAUGUCAAUGCUGUACUAAAUUGUAUAUAUACUGGAUAGGAAUGUGGCAAAUAUAUCUUUUUCUUAAAAUAAGUUGCACUAAUCUGUCCAAGAAACUCUCCAUUCUUUUCAUAUUGUUCUCCUGAUAAAUACAUUUACUUGUUCAUCUAAAAUAAACUUCCUGAUAAUGAAUUCAUUACUUUUAGUAUUGGAUUGUUGCUAAAUUGCAAUAAUAACUAAAGAAUUGGCGUUUGUUGCACAAGUAUACCAAUUCGUUGAACUUCUGUUAGGUUCCCAUCUGCAAUCGUCAAAAUAAUAAAGAAAAAGAAAAAAGUUUUAGUGGCUCAUCAAAAUGUUAACAAUACACUCUGUUCUAGUCUAGCAAGUUUCAUAUCUGUCAUUUCUUUUUCUUAUUCUUGUUCUUUCCUGGAGAGGCGGAGGGAGGUGAAAGUUUGUAUGGGGUGUGAAGAUUUCUUGUCAGAUAAGACUGCAUUGAAACAAUCAAUUAGGUAUUAAAAAGCAUAGAAAAACUUUUGAUGGAUUUUAUGUGAAAGAAUUCAGCUGAAGUGAUUAAGACUAAUUUCCUAAAUCAAUUUUGGGAACAAUUUCUGUGGCUUUACUGACUAUGUCCUCAUUAAGUAUGUCAUGCUUAAAAUUGAUGGAGUAUCUCUUUUAGCUGUGGAAAAAGUGUACUGUUUAGUGGCCUAUAAAAAACAUCGAGAAGCGAUCUUUUGUUGAUCUGCUGUAUAGCUGAUCUGUGCAGAUUUUUUAUUUGUGUGGUUUUGUUAGUGCAUGCACUAAUGAGUGAUGGGGUCAUCCGUUGCAAAUACAAUGACAGUUGCAUGUUUUUUGGUUAAAAACAAUAAGUCUUCUUGCUCAUGUUAAAAUUUUAUUUUGGCAUCCUAAGAUGAAGAUUUCAACGAGACCUUGUACAGAUGUCUCCAGAUUGAACUUAAGAUAUGCUUUAUCAAGGUAGAAUAAGUUCCACGUUCCGUUUUAAGUUUAGCUCAGAAAGUAUUAUUCUUCCAUACUGUGCACAUUUAAAAUAAAAAAUAAUUGGGCAAAAAACCGCAGUGGUUCUCUAAUUUUUAACUUUGCACAGUUUUAGUCCUCCAACUAAUAAUUGGGCAAAUGUAGUCUUCCAAUUAAAAAAAUUGUAUAUUUCUAGUCCAUCCGUCCAAUGUGGCUAUUAAGAUGGAUGGGAGAGACAUCACGGACUACUCUCAUAACAUUUGUUGGGGGCAAUCUCGUUAGCACAGCAGAGGGACUUACCUUAAAAAUCUCCUUCUUCUUCAUUUUCACUCCAAUUGACAUCUGAAGCUUGUAGGACUGGUAGCAGUAGAUUCUUGGUCUCAAUUGAGCCGAAAAUGAGGAGAUUGAACACUCCAACUCUCCCUGUGUGCCCCUGCGGUAAAUCGACAAAGAUGGUGACUUCGUGGACAUCUCAAAAUCCUGGCAGGAGGUAUGCAGUAUGCGCAGUGGGGGUUGCGAGUUUUGGGAUUGGAUCGACGAGGAAAUGUGUCGGUCAAUUGAGGUGAUACCCGGUCUUCUAAGAAGGGUGAAUGCAACUGAACAACAAAGGGAUGAAUUGCAAACUGUACUGACCAAAUUGGAGUCAAAAGCUACAAAGUUGAAGGUGAAAGUGAAGGACAUGGAACACGAAUUGGCGAGGCAAAAACAUAUUAGGAAGUGGCUUGUAAGACUAUUGGUACUCUCUUGGGUUUUAAUCUUAUUAAUGGUGGUUUGGCCUCGAGAUGAAAGAUGGACUUCUGGAAGAAGCUCUAUGAAAAUUGUGUUGAUGUGAAAAUUGUAUCUAUCAAGAUGCUAAUGGAGUAAUCUGAUUUUAAGAUAAUGUAAAAAUUGUAUUAGCCUUUUGUAGUGUUAGCUAGGCUAACAAAUCUGUAGUUGAAUUGUACUCUAUGCUUUUGGAAGAAUGGAAAUAAUAGAAUGAAGUUUGAUCUGAACUGGUAUAGCUGUGAAAUUGUUAUGGCAGGUUGGCAGUCACACAUGAAGACGACAGUAGAAUGGGAACAAUUGAAUGAAUGCUAAAAAUAAUAGAAAAAUCAGAAUAAAACAAAAUGUCCUGUUAUAUUCAUUCAGUGGAUAAAAGCUAACAUAGCAGUCCAAAGGGAUACAAUAGUCAAACUUGACCAUUAACAAUUAGUAGACAAAAAACUAAUCCAGCUACACAAAAGCAGUUGGACAAAAAAUCAUUACUUGGUCAAAAGUUGUCUAUUACAAAAGACAUUUUCCAGUCAAAAGAGAUCCAACAAUAAAGUACUGCUAGGUAUAGCAAAAACAGACUACUUCAGUGGGUGUUGUUGGAUUAAGCUGCAUUCUAUCCUCUUGUACCUCCAGUUCCCCUUCCUCUACUAGCUCUUCCUCUGCCCCUGCCACUCCAUUUUUCCUUCCAAUUCCCAAUAGUGAAGGGAGGUUGCUUGCCCAAAUAUGCGUAAUUCAGAUUGAUAAAUUCUUUAUUAGCAUUUGUUAAAGGCUGUUUUGUUGAAUUUUUCUGCUUCUGCCUCUUAGGAGGUAGUUGCUGUGUUAAGGGAGCGCUAUAAGAGGCCUGCUGUUCUUGAAGAUUAGCGCCAUGCUAGAAUGAUGAUUGGUGGUCUUGCUGAUCCACUUGCUGUUGUUGUGUCUCAUUCUAAUGCUUAUGUUGGUGUACAGAUUCAAAUCCCGAACGUUGAUGAUCAUAUGUCUCGUGAACUUGAGGAGAUUGGCGCUGCACUUUUUUUUUUUUGUUCCUUUGCUGGUCCUUUCUAACUUGUCAAUGACAGCAAAUAGUAAAAAGUAAGAUUUUAAACUGCCUUUUCAUGUAUACCACAAUUUCUUAAUACUUAAAGUCUGCCUUUUAAAUGGUCUCGCAAAGGAUUUUGGACUUUUAGGAGGCAAUGCACCCUGUGGAGUAUAUACAUCAAUAUCAGAACCCUCUUCUACUUGAUUAGAUUGAGUAGACCCUUCUUUGCAGUAUGUAGUUGCAUUGUGACCUGCCUUCCCACACUUUCUACAAUGUACAACAAUUCCCCUUCUCAGUUUUCUACCAUGAUUUUUUCCUUCUGUGAUGUCUCUUCUUCGAGCCUUUCUUGGCUUCCCAGGUUGAGCAACAGUGAGUGGUGGGUCCAAUAUAGGUAUGGUGGAUGGGAGCCAUAGAAUUUCAUCACUAAUUGGUUGGAGAACAUUACAAUAUAUGUUAAAAAAUAGAUCUGUACUGUAGCAACCUUCAACUUCGUUAUAAGGAUUUCCAUUAUUUCUGGGAGUGGCAAUUUUCGACAUGACUUGCAAACACGACACGAAUCUAACACGAAAUUAAUGGAUUUGGGUUGAGAUUUCAGAGGUUCGGAUCAGAAUCGGGUCGAACCCGAUGAACCUGAAAAGAAAACAGGUCGAUUUCGGGUCAACCUAUGGGUGACCCGAUAUAAUCCGUUUACGAAUUAAAAAUAAUUUAAUAAACAUAAAAAUUAUUUUAUCUGACUAAACUAAGUUAUUCUUUUUUCUCAAAGGCAUUAAUUAUUUAAUCCUAAAUGAAUUUAUUUAAUUUGUGUGAAAUUGAAAUUAUUAUAUUUGGACAAAUAAUAUAUCAUAUUAUUCUUUAUUUUUAUACUGUUUUAAUUUAUUUUAUAUUUUAUUUGGGAUAAAACACUUUUACGGUGUUUAAUUUAUUUUAGAUUUGUUUAGAAUUAUUUAUUUAAAUUUUAUUACUUGAUUAUGUAAUUAGUUUUGUGAGAAAUUGAUUUUAUUAAAAAUUACAGUGAUAAAUUAAUAAAUUAAAAUUAAGUUUCGGAUCAUUUCGAGUCGACUUGGCAGCCCGAAAUUUUCGGAUUCGUGUCAGGUAUCCUGACCCGUUUCGAGUUGGCGGGUCAGGUUUGAGUCAGCGGAUUUUCUGUUAUACCCGGAUCUCAACCCAAUCCGUCAACCUGAAUUUGACCCGAUUGCCACCCCUAAUUAUUCCUAUGAAUUGCUGCUAUUGCAUGACAACAAGGAAUUUCACUUAUGGCCCACAAUUUGCACGUGCAAUGUCUUUUUUUUAGGUCUACAGCAUAUUGGUCUCCUUUAGGGCCCUUUACUUGAUAACCAACAGCAGCAUUUCAAAUAGGAUUCAAGUGAAUUGAACGCUUCACCCUUUCAUCAACAAUUUUGAUGGGCAGUGGUCCAAUAGAACCCUUACAUUUCUCCAUGGCUACCUUUCUUUGUUGAAUCCUAUCCAUAAUAUACUCUCUGAUAGUCUCCAGUAGUGAAAUUACAGGCUGAUCUCUGGCUUCAAGGAUAUGAGCAUUGAAAGAUUCACAAAGGUUAUUGAUCAGCAUAUCACAUUUGGUAUGAGUUGGAAAAAAUGCCUUGCACCAAUGCCGAGGAUGACGUGCCUUUUUCACCAACUGUGUGCUUCCUUGUCAUAAGUCUCCAGAUUUGCCAUUGCCUCAUUGAAGUGCUCAGGUGUAGUACAGUAUGCAAUAUUCCAGAAUCUCUCAUUCAACACCUCUCCUGGAUGUUUUUUUUUUUAAUUUCUAUAUAAAUGCUGCACACAAUAUCGGUGCUCACAGUUUGGAAGCACCUCAGCUAAUGCUCUAUCAAGUCCCUGCAAUAUAAAAAGAAAAGUAGACAUUUGUCUUGACGAUAGAAACCAGAUUACAAUGAUAUCUACAAUAAUUAUAGUGCAUAACCUUUUGUUGAUCAGAGAUAAAAGUGUAGUGGUAUUGGUUUUGUAAUUCCAAAUCCUCACUCAACAACUUCAGAAACAAUGUCCAUUGUUCCGUGGCUUCUUUCUCCACAAUUGCCCAUGCAAUUGGCCAAUAACCAUUGUUAGAGUCCACUCCAAGAGCAGUAAGUAAUUGUCCUGGAUAAGUGCCUUUCAGAUGGCAUCCAUCUAAACCUAUAAUAGGGCCUACAACCAUCCUUAAAGCCUUGCUUAAGUGGCCCAAGGCAGCAGUAUAGUCACAUGAAUCUUGGAUUAACUGUGGGGUAAACAUGACCUCCAUAGUACUUCCCCCAUGUGUCUUCUUUAUCUCAUUACAAUAUUCCCAAAUCUUCUUGUAUUGUGCCUCUGCAGACCCCUUAAUAAGCUGUAUAGCCUUGGCUCUUGCUUUUCUACCCACCUAUUUAGAAAUCUCAACCUCAUAGUCCUCAUGAACAGUUUGCCUAAGCUCCCUAACGAGUAUUUUUGUGUUAGACCUGAUUCUCUCCAUAUACCUAUUGGAUAGCCACGUAGAAGUCAUGUUUUUAUUCUUCCAAGCGUGAUUGCAAUUCUCAUGCAUAUCAUGCAUUGUUUUUACCUCCAAAUCUGAUGUACCAAGUGCCAUCUCAAUUGAUGCAAAGACAAACCAAGGACAUGGUCUCUACAAACAACCCUCACCCUUUUGAUAUCAUUUUUGCAUGUCCAGACUGGUUUACCUUUUUUGAUACCAUAUUCGGUCACUGCUGCCUUGAAUUGUUGCCUUGACUCAAAUUUCAUCCCCAAUUCAAACUUGGGGUCUAUCAUGAAUUUAUCCCAUACAAAUCUCUUGUAUCUCCCUUCAAACUGGUUCUCAUCUUCAUCUGAUGAACUGUAAUCACUGCUUCAGUGAUCCGCUACAUAGUCUUCAUCCAAUGCAUUUGUCAGCCUCUCAGGAUAUGGACCUUCACCUACAGGUUUCUCUCUUCUUCUCCUCACUUGUUUCUUCCUUAAUUUUGGAUGCUAUGGUUGCUGAUUGUUGGUUUUCUGCUGAACUGAGGGCUGUUGGGGUUGUUGCUCAGCUCCUACUUGGUUUUUAGACUGCUGAUGCUUGUUUCUAGCAUGCAAAGACCUCUCAGAUGUAUUAUGCUGCUGUUCACCUCUUGUAUCCAGUUGCUGUUGGUCUCCUUCUCUAAUGAGGUUAUAAAGAAGCUGUUCAUCUGCACAAUAAUCAAUAUCCCAAGGAAACCUCUCUACUUUAGCAUAUGAUUCAGAUGCAACUUCACCAUCAAUAUCUCCCAUUGUCGUUGCAGGCCCCUCAUGUUUAGUGCCCUGUUGAUUCCUUGGAUUUUCAACAGUUGCUCCAUUCUCCCUUAAUGGUUGUGCUGAAGUACUUGUGUCAUUGUCAACAGUUUGCCAAGUUGACUAUGAUGCCCCUACUCCACUACGUACCAUCUGUAAACAAGGUUCCGCAACCACCCUACCUUCAUCAUCUAAUUCUUCGAUUACCAAAACCAUAUUUUUUCUGCUCUACUGAAUUACCCCUACCAGCCUCCAUCAAAAUUUGAUCAAUUUCUUCAAUUGUUAAGUUGUUACAGUAAACCUCCAUCACUUUAUAUUCAUAAGCCAAGGUACAAAAUUUGUUUACAUCAGCAUCUAUACACAAUUCCCUUAACCCACUGUUAAGAUUUUUAGUUGGUUCAAGAUAGUAAUACAUUAUGGUUUCCUGAUAUGACCUAGCUCCUCUACCAUUUCAUUCAGUUCAUGAAUUGACAUCCGUUCACAAUCACAUAAGUCUACAUGGUCCACAUCACCACCAACAUAACUUAUGUAACUUUCCCAACGAAUCUUUCCCCUGUGAUGCACUUAUAGUAAACCAUUCAGAUCUUGCAUCUAUAUUAACAAUUAUGAGUAAUCAUUAAUUAAUUUGGUAACUAAUUAAUUAACUCAUUAAUUUUGUAUAAAAGACCUUAAUCCCAAACCUAGGUCAAUAGGCACAAUUAAAAUAAUAUAUACUAAACUAAUCAACAAUAGAAAUUAAAUAAUUAGGCUAGCUCAACAGGACAAAGUAGUCAUGGCCCAGUAAAUUUUAUUAAUAUGCUUCAGGACCACUGGUGCUUAUUUAUAGACAGUGAACCCAUAUAUGGGACCACUUUCCUCCCAUAUUUGAGACAAAACACCCUCACAUUCAACCCCACAACCAAAAUAAAACUUCCUAUGUACUUAGCAAUCACUGUAACACAAAUAACCAUCAAUUGUUGCUCAUUUUUGCAGAACUUUGUACAGUUUAAGUGCACAUACCGUAUACUAACUGGGGGUCGAAGUAGACGCCCCUUCUCCUAAUUUUCCAUUCCACCAUUCCUCUGGGCAGACUUCAAACCCGAUCGUCUUUUUCUCUGCUGCAAAUCUCGUCACUGCAAGGAGUAUUUUAGGGUUCUUGUAGAGGCGGGUGAAGAAGAAGUUCCGCUAACAGUCCGAACUUUGAAGCUUUUGAGGGACUUUGCUGUUUUUUGUACAAUAGUGUCCCCAACAAAUGUUAUGAAAGUAGUCCGUGAUGUCUCUCCCGUCCAUCUUAACAAAUACAUUGGACGGAUGGAGUAGAAAUAUACAAUUUUUUUAAUUGGAGGACUACAUUUGCGCAAUUAUUAGUUGGAGGACUAAAACUGUGCAAAGUUAAAAGUUAGAGAACCACCGCGGUUUUUUGCUCAAAAUAAUUUUGUUCUACUUUGAAGGUCAACUUAGCACAUUUAAAAUAAAAAUAAUAAAAAAUAAAAAUAAACAACGGAAAUGAAAUGUGUAUACUCCUACAUCUCCAUGUGCAAGUUGAAUUUCCGCAAAGGUGGGGCUACCCCUUACAAUUUUUCUGAUUGAGGAUGUAAUAUAUAGUGAGAGGUUACAAUCAUGUUGAUUCAAUUUCGCAGGGAUUUUGAUUUCAAAUAAAGUUAUUAAUAUCUCAUCUCAUAAUCUAGAUAUACUACUCAUGAUAAGCCUGUCAUAUAAGUCAUAAGUCACUUUCCUUGAAUCACGAUUUUCCGUGGGUACUUGUAGAGUCAACUUACGCCUUUUUCUGUGUAAACUAUCAUACAUUAAUACAUUAAUGCUUUCACUUUUCAUGUAGUCUUGUAUAGCUGUCAAGCUACGUCCCCUUGGAUAUGAAUUCAAUCUAAAAAGGAUUCAGGAGAGCUACGUCCCCUCGUCACUUUUCAUGUAGUCAUGUAGUCCUGAAUCUAAAAAGCAUUCAGGAGAACCACACCAGAGCAGAGUUAAAAAGUGUUGAGAUAUGCCAACUUUUCCUACAAAUUUUGCUAGAUUAUAUUUGAUAUCAAAAUAAUUUAGUUAUUAGAAGAAUAAGGAUAUUUGCUAAUCAAAAAUCAUGUUGGUUUGUUAACAAAUAUAUUAGCUAAGAUUUGCUAGUAAAAAAAGAUUAUAUUUUGUUGAGAUUUUUAGGAUAAUUGUUAGUGGGAUAUUUUGCUAGUUUGUUUCAUGUAAUCACUAUAAAUAGUGAGUUGAUGAAUGUAGAACAUAAGCUCAUUUUUCACAUUCAAUACAAGUCUCUUAUAAGAUUUUUUUUUUUGCAACACUAAGGUGUUGUUUCUUAGUGUAUGCCCCAAAAAAUCAACAAAGUGGUAUCAAGAGCCUAAAUCUUAAGGGUCUGUUUCUUUGAGAGUUAGUGAAUCUGGUGAGAAUCCCUUUUUCACACUUAAGCCUUGAACAUCAAAAUGCCAGGAAAUAACUUCUUGUCUAAUCCUCCAAAUUUCACUAGUGAAAACUACCAAACCUGGGCUGUCAAAAUGAAGUCCUAUUUGAUGGCUAAUGAUCUUUGGGAUACGGUAGAAACAGAUUAUAUUCCUAAAUUGUCGGAAGAUCCAACUAUUGCAGAGAUGAGAGCCCAUAGGGAUGCAGUCAAAAUGAGAUCAAAAGCCAUGACAUGCAUUCAUUUAGCAGUUUCCGAUGCAGUAUUUACAAAAAUUAUGACUUGUGAAACUGCAAAGGAAACUUGGGAUGCUCUCAAAGUGGCUUUUCAAGACAAUGACAGAACAAGACAUAUGCAAGUUUUGAACCUUAGGAGAGAAUUUGAACUCCUUAGGAUGAAAGACAAAGAAAACAUUAAAGACUAUUCUGACAAACUCUUAAAUAUUGUGAACAAAAUCAGAUUGAUUGGAGAACAACUUCCGGAUAGCAGAGUUCUGGAGAAAGUCUUGGUGAGUUUACCAAAAAGGUUUGAAGUCAAAAUUUCCUCUCUUGAAGAUUCAAGGGAUCUCUCUUGGAUGACCUUGCCAGAAUUGAUCAAUGCUUUAGAGGCACAAGAACAAAGACGAGCCAUAAGAACUGAAGAAGUCAUUGAAGGUGCUUUUCAAGCAAUAAACAAGAAUCAAAUUUGACAAGGUGAAAGAAAUGAUCAAGAAACAAUAGCAAAGAUGAGAAGAAAAAUGACAGAAAUCUUCCGUGUCCACACUGUAAGAAAACCUCACAUCUUUCAAUAUAUUGUUAGUUUAGACCUGACAUUCAAUGUAACUUUUAUAAGCAAAUGGGACAUAUGGAGAGAGUUUGCAAAAAUAAAGGAAAAAGAGAACAUCACGCUCAGAUGGUUGAUGAACAAGAUGAGAAGCAACUUUUCGUGGCCACUUGUUUUACAAGCAAUAAUUUCAGUACUGAAACUUGGCUAAUAGACAGUGGUUGCACUCAUCACAUGGCAUAUGAUGAAUCUAUAUUUAGGAAACUUAAUAAAUCACAAAUUUCUAAAGUCAGAAUUGGAAAUGGAGAUUAUAUUGAGGUGAAAGGCAAAGGAAGUGUUUCUAUAGAUUAUGGUUCAGGUACCAAAAUUAUUUCUGAUGUUUUGUAUGUACCUGAAAUUAAUCAAAAUCUAUUAAGUGUUGGACAGUUAUUGGAGAAGAAUUAUUCUGUCAUCUUCAAAAACAGGACUUGUGUUAUACAUGAUCCAGUUGGGAAUGAACUUUUCUCAGUGAAAAUGAGAGGUAAAAAUUUUUCUUUGAAUUUGUCAGAAACUGACAAUUCUAAGGUGUAGUAUUAUGAACCAAAAAAUUCAGAUGUUACUAAAAUUCAGGAGGAGAUCAUUGAUGAGGCAAUUGAAGGAGGCUACAUUGUGAAAAUUCAUGAAAAGCUACCCAAGGAUGAUAGUGGUGACAAAGCUGAUAAAAGGCCAUGCAAAAAUUUGAAGGAUUGUUUUAUGUCUCUCAUAGCAAUUUUUUUUUGUAUUGCGAAUUUCUUCUUCAGGUUCAUCUAUUACGUAUGGGAGUUCCACUUUCAAGUUGCAAAGAAAUCAUUUGAAUACAUCAGAAAAUUUGGUAUUGAUUUUGAAGUUUGUCUCAAGAAACAUUGCAAGACUAAUGAUCAGAUUGCAGAUAUUUUUAUGAAAGCCUUGUCCAAAACAAGGUUCAAAGAUUUGAGAAGACAAUUCAAAAUCUGCAGCAAAAGUGGCAAGAAAGAGUGUUGAGAUAUGCCAACUUUUCAUACAGAUUUUGUUAGAUUGUGAGAACCCGUAAUUUUUUCCAUUUUCUAGGUUUUAUUAUCUUUCAUGGCUUGUUUUCUGCAUUUUCGUGAGCAGGAAAAAUUCUAGAUAUUUUUAAGGAGCAGAUAUAAUUUUUAAAUGAUUUUUCUAGUAUCAAAUAGGUUUUGAGAAAUUAAGAGCGUGUACCGGACGUGGGACCCAAUAGUGCGAAAAGUUCGAAAAAAUUCGGCCAACUAGAUUAAGUUUUGGAUACUGAAAAUAAUUUACCGGGUGUGAAGAGAUAAUUAGAGGAUGCUAAGUGGAUUGGUAUAAGAGAGACAAGUUAGGUAAGCAUUUAAUAAAAGGUGACAAGUGUCACCAUUUGAGUGGGUUUACCUUAAGACCACUAUUCAUGGUCUUACCAAGUGACUAAAUAAAUCAAAAACUACCAAAAUUUCUCCAUUUUCUCUUCUCUUGUGGCCGGCUUUCUCUCUCAAAAAGAAAGAAAGAAACUCUUCAAGUUUUGCUUCCAUUUAGCUCAAAUCAAUCCAACCAACCAUUGAAACUUGAAAUUUCUCCAUAAAACCUCUUCAAUUAGUGAUAGUGAGUUGAUUUGUGGGGUUAUUUGGAAAGCUAAGAGGACCUAUUGCUCCCUCUCUCUUGUUUCUAAGGUAAGUUGUGAAGAACCACUUUCCUUCCUCUAAUGAUGCUUAAUUUGUGAUUAGUGGUAGUAUAAGGUGCAAUAUUAUGAAUUACAUCUUGAUUUGUGGUUGAAUUAGUGAAGUUUUCUAUUUAUUGGUGAUUUUUCUGUUUUAAUAUGAACAUGAUUGUGUGUCUAUCUAUGAUGAUUGGAAAUGGUAUGUAAUGACUCUAGGAGGUGGAAAAAGUGAUUAAUUGCAACCAAUUUCUGUUUGGAAGAAAAAUUGACAAGUUAGGGUUUUUGUGAAGAACAUUCUGCCUGAUUUUGUAGCUCCUAGUUAGAGACCUAAUUGGCCUUAGCUUAAAACAUGAAAGUUGUAGGGAAUGACAUUUUAGAGGUUCUUGCAAAAUUUCAGGUCAAUCGGAGUAGCAUAGCAUGAGAAAAGUCAAAAUUACCCUUGCUGUCCUGGUUUUACCCAAAUUGGAGAAUUGCGUCUGUAAUUGGCUAUUUUGGUUAGGAAUGCUUCAGAAUUGGUUGUUGAGGUCUUCUGAUGAAAUGUAGCCCUGUUUCUAAGCUUUCGGAUGGCUUUGGAAUUACUGGAUUUGGAUUUCGGUAGCCUGAUUUAUGAUGUUUACGCCAGGAUACAUUUUGUAAACAUGUUUUUGCGAUUCUGGUGUAGUCUAUGGUAUUUUUGACCUGGUUGCUAUAGGAACUGGACUGAGUGACCUUCUGUAAUAUUGUAGCCCUAUCUUUUAGCUUCGAAACGGUGAGUCUUGUACCUUCAUCCGAUAAUUGUAGUGCCAUUGGCACCAAAACCGUAAAAUGACGUCAAAAACUAUUUUCUUGGGUUAAAGCUUAUUUCCAUUUCUGGAUUUUCUGAUUUCCUGUAAUGCUUGUACAUGCUUAUGGAACCUUAUUGGGGUCGUAUUUGGCAUUGGUUUAUGACUCCUUAUCGAGUCUCAUUGUACUUGUUUGCAUGUUUUAGGGCGUGACGGGGGUUCACGACGUUCUUUUGACGGAAGUGCAUGAAACACCAUUUGCAAGCUUGGUGAGUGUACUACUCACUUGUGUGUUAAUAUAUGGCUGUGAUACUUGAACUUGGUGCUUUGAAUGUUAAUUGCUUGAAGUGAAAGUGUACUUUAUCACUCUCACUUAUUGUUUAUCAUGUUAUUGGAAUGUUAUAUGAAAUGCUAGAUGAAAUGAAAGUACAUGGCUUGGUGUCGUUUGGACGAGCAUCCAACGACUACAAUUGUUAUCCUUGAGCUCAACCCCAUGGGUCGUUGAUUGAAUCGAGCCGGCGAGGGCUUGGUCGUGCCAAUUAAUGUGCCUUGGGAAAGUGUUAUAUGGAAUCUUGUAGUGUGAGAGACUCUCGAUUCCGGUUUACUCGAGUAAUACCACAAUGCAAGUGUUUGGAUUUCGGGCCCGAUAGGGGAAUGUUAGGUGGAAGUAAUGGAAGUAAAGUGGAGUCUACGGUUGGUUAUUUUUGAACAUUGACGGAGAGUCAAUGACGUCCAAUCAAGAAAUGCAAACGAGGGAAAAGGGCUCUUGAGAGCCAUCCGUAUCCUUUUAUCACCACCAUUAAUAUGUGCCUUUGUUUACUUUUGGUGAAUUGAAAUGAAAAGCUUUAUGUUUACAUGAACUUGGUUGCUUAAGUGAUAGUAUCUCACUGGGCAAUUAGCUCACAUCGUUCCUUUUGUUUUCCUUACAGGAAUAUGACUCUUUUUUUGGAAUGAAUCUUGAUAGAUGGUUGCUGAAAGAACUAGAUGAAUAUCUCUUUUGUAUUGUAUAUGAAUCGAAACCCUAAAUGUACCUUUAGGGCCGUUUCACUUUUGAUUUUGGCAAACCUUACAUGUAGUAGCUCUUGUAUCACUUUUGAAUGCCAUUUUGGCUUGUAAAUGCUAAAUGUUAUGUUGUAUAUGUAUUUUGAUGUUUGAUUGGGUUCUGACGGGUCGGUUACUAUUCGGGGCCGAUUCCGGAUUUCAUUUUUUUUAUUUUGGGUUAUUUUGCCCUUUUGACUUGUUUACGCGCGUUAUAAGUUCCGGAAUACAAUAGAUCGCUCUAAACUGCAUCGUUAGUCCUAGCGAGAGUUGGGCAGGCAGUCCGCCAACCCCUUUGGUUCGCCUUAGGGGAAGGUGGGCUGUCACAGGUGGUAUCAGAGUCUAGGUUUGAAUUAGCUUGGGUGUAAUAAAAAUGCUCGAUGUGAGGGUUCUUUAUUUAUGGCCUUUAAACUUAUUUAUGGUUAAUUGCUCUCUUGGUGUAGGAUGGCCGGACAGGGUGAGCCUAGUGAUAGUCCUCCGGACGAGAGACCUAGUGGAGCACUUCCAGUGAUACCAUACCAGAUACGGCCGGGAGGGGCCGUCGUGCGUUGGAGCCCGUCUAAUCGCCUUAGACGAUGCGAGUGUCGACAUAAGUAUGUCUAUCCUAACGCUCUAGUGUUGGCCGUGGCCGAGGAGCGUAAGGAAUUGGCCGCAGAUAAUGCGAGACUUGAGGCUGAGGUGACCCAGCUUAGGGCAGCCAAUGAGAGACAGGCCAAGCGCAUUAAUGGUCUGAAGUACGAUGUGCUUGAGGCAGAGGAUAGGGUUGAUGACCUCUGCACUCUGCUGAGGGAAGUCCAUGAGCGCGAGUCCAAGCUAGCUCGAAAGGUGAAGAAUCGAGCCGCUUCGAUCCUGAACCUUUGCGCCGAGGUGGUCGAGGGCGUGAGCGAUGAGGAAUCAUGUGCGGGGGCCGAAUCUGGGACUGGAUCUACCCCGUCGGGUGAAUCUACCCCGUCGAGGGGGUCUACUAGCCCAUCGACGGACUAGAUCUCGACUUUUAGUGUCUUUUGGGAUUGUUUUGUUUUGUAUAUAGGCGGAUAGGGAAAAGAGCCUUAACUAAUCGUUUUGUACUUUUGGAUUAGCUACGUGUAUAUUUCUUUUGUUGAGGCCAUUCCCUUGGGGAUUAUCCAUGUGUGUAUUUGGCUUGACUGUACUUGACUUGACUGAUUGUAUAUAUGUGUGUUGCUUGUCUUGCUUGGAAUGUAUAUAUCUGUUUGGCAAAGUUUUGGAUUUUUCUUACAUGCAUUGUUUUAUAUUGGUUUAGUACCAUUGUCUAGACCAAGUAAAGUUAUGGAAGGAACACGUAGUGGACGGGGACGUGGGCGCGAAAAUAGACAACCCACACCGGAUAGGGAUACUGGGGAAACCUCCUCUGGACCUAAUCCUGAACCGCAAGUGAACCCCAAUGUGCAAAUCGCUGCCGCUAUGCAGCAAAUGACCAACCUGCUGGCACAAGUGGUGCAGCAACAAGGCCAGAACCCAAACCCUAACCCCGGAAACCCUGGCAACCAUGUCGAGAGCGAAGACCGAGCUCUCGAACGAUUUCAAAAGUUUGCUCGCCCAAGUUCAUUGGGGGACCAGAUCCGGAUGUUGCCGAGAGAUGGCUCGAGAAGAUGGUCGAUAUUUUUGCGGCCUUGCACUACACCGAUGAACGGCAGGUGACUUUUGCCGUUUUCCAGUUAGAAGGGGCGGCCCGUUCCUGGUAGAACGUGAUACGACAAAAAUGGGAACGGGAACAAACGCUCAGGACUUGGGUGAAUUUCAUCAGGGAAUUCAACUCAAAAUUCUUCCCUCCUCUAGUUUAGGAGAAGAAGGAAGAUGAGUUUAUUCGACUCCGCCAAGGGGCUCAAUCGGUGGCGGAAUACGAGAGUCAAUUCACCCGUCUGUCCAAAUUUGCGCCUGAGUUGAUCAUGGCUGAGUAGCGACGGAUCAAGCGUUUCAUCCAGGGCCUGAACGUCGAAAUCCAGAAGGACCUCGCAGUGGCUCAAAUCAAUGCUUUUAGCGAGGUCGUAGAAAAGGCUCAAAGGGUAGAGAGUGCUCGAUUGCAAGUUCGGAACUUCCAGGCGAAAAAGCAGGACUUUCCUGGAAGCAGCCCCGGACAAGGGGACAAAGGUACUUCCUCCAAGUUUGGACGUGGAGCUGGAGGUGGACGACAGUCAGGUUCCGGCAGAGGGGCUCAGUCUAGGGGCGGCCCAGCCGGGAGAGGCCAAUGUGGAAACUUUCAAAAGGGUUCCGGUUCGGCGUCCCGCGGGCCUUGCGGGUACUGCGGAAAGCCGAAUCAUUCUGAACACAAUUGCUGGAAGAAGGGAGGCAAAUGUCUGCGUUGCAGAAGCAUAGACCACCAGCUUGCUACUUGCCCACUCUUAACGCAAGACGGAAGGGGAGCUCAAACCACGUCCAAGACCAAUACGGGACUGAAUAAGGGGAAUGAGGCGAAACCUAAAGUGCCAGCUCGGGUAUAUUCAAUAGAACCUCGACAGGUCCCGGAUUCCUCAGAGGUCGUAGAAGGUACGAUCCCUAUUUUUCACCGUUUUGCCAAAGUUUUAAUUGAUCCUGGUGCCACUCAUUCUUUUGUUAACCCUGAUUUCAUGUGUGGCAUCGAUAUAAAACCUGCUAGUUUACCAUACGACCUAGAAGUUAGUACACCCACGGGGAAUCAACGAUUGGUUACUAGUAUGGUUUAUAGGGAUUGUGAAGUGUGGGUAGGAAAGAAAAGAUUGUUAGGAGACUUGAUAAGUUUGGUCAUUAAGGGGUAUGACGUGAUUUUGGGUAUGGAUUGGCUCGCCAAGUACAAUGCCGAACUGGACUGUAAAACAAAAGUGAUAGAAUUCUGCAUCCCUGGCGAGACAACCAUAAGGUUGGACAUAAGGGGGAGGUUAGCCUCAUCUGCUUUGAUUUCGGGCAUUCGGGCUAGAAAAUUGGUAAGUCGAGGGGCGCAAGGAUUUUUGGCUUUUUUGAUCAACACCCCUACAGAUAAAGUGAAGGUAGAAGAUGUGGCCAUAGUGAAGGAAUUUCCGGACGUGUUUCCUGAUGAAUUAGUAGCCUUACCUCCGGAAAGAGAAAUUGAAUUCAAAAUAGACCUGCUACUGGGAUUCUCACCUAUCUCAAAAAUACCAUACCGAAUGGCUCCUGCCGAACUCAAAGGAGCUGAAGUUACAAUUACAGGACCUUCUGGAGCGGGGAUUCAUUCAUGAGAGUGGGUCUGCUUGGGGAGCUCCUGUACUGUUUAUGAAGAAAAAGGAUGGUGGGUUGAGGAUGUGUAUCGAUUAUCGGAGCCUGAAUAAUAUUACAAUUAAAAAUAAGUAUCCACUGCCCCACAUCGAUGAGCUAUUUGACCAGUUGCAGGGAGCGGUGGUUUUCUCGAAACUGGACCUCCGCCAAGGGUACUACCAGUUAUUAAUCAGGAAGGAGGAUAUUCCGAAAACCGCUUUCAACUCGAGAUAUGGGCAUUUCGAGUUCGCAGUGAUGCCCUUUGGGCUGACCAAUGCUCCUGUCGCCUUCAUGGACCUAAUGCAUAAGGUGUUUAAGCCCUACCUGGAUCGAUUUGUAGUGGUGUUCAUCGAUGACAUCCUGGUCUAUUCCAAGACCCGUGAAGAGCAUGAGCAGCACUUGAAGAUUGUCUUACAAACCCUGAGAGACCAUCAAUUGUAUGCCAAGUUUAGCAAGUGCGACUUUUGGCUGGAGAAAAUCGCUUUUCUAGGGCACGUAAUUUCGCAAGAGGGUAUUUCGGUCGACCCGGCAAAAGUAGAGGCUGUGACCAAUUGGAAGAGGCCAGAAAAUCCCACAGAGGUCCGUAGCUUUCUAGGACUGGCUGGAUAUUAUCGGCGUUUCAUCAAGAACUUUUCCAAACUGGCCGGUCCUCUAACUGAUUUGACGAAGAAGCAUGGUCGAUUCAGUUGGAAUGCCCGAAGUGAGACAAGUUUUCAAGAGUUAAAGAAACGAUUGACCAUGGUUCCAGUUCUAGUCUUACCUAACGGAGGUGACGGGUUUGCUGUGUACACUGACGCGUCACGAGAAGGCCUGGGUUGUGUAUUAAUGCAAAAUCGAAAUGUGAUAUCUUUUGCCUCGAGAAAAUUAAAACCCCACGAGCAGAAUUACCCAACCCAUGAUCUGGAGCUAGCUGCCGUUGUUUUCGCUCUUAAAAAGUGGAGACAUUAUCUAUAUGGGGUAACCUUUGAGAUUUACUCCGAUCACAAAAGCCUGAGGUAUCUCUUCUCACAGAAGGAAUUAAACACGAGGCAGCGACGGUGGAUGGAAUUUCUGGAGGAUUAUGACUGUACCAUCAACUACCAUCCAGGAAAAGCAAACGUAGUGGCCGAUGCCCUAAGUCGCAAAGCUUAGGUCGCAAGCUUAAUGAUUAAAGAGUGGAAUUUGCUUGAGUCGGUUUGUGAGUGGAAACCCAGCCUGGGGAGCCAUAAGGUGAUUUUUGACAAUAUUAAAGUGACUUCCACCCUUUUGGAAAGGAUUAAAGAAGCUCAAAAGGAAGAUUCACUGGUGCAGAAAUGGGGAGAGAAAAUGGAAAAAAGAGAAGCAACUGAUUUCAAUUUUGGUCCUGAGGGUAUUUUAAAAUACCGAAACCGAAUAGUGAUGCCGAAAGAUGAAUCAUUGAAAACGGAGAUUCUAGAGGAAGCCCAUCGGUCCAAGUAUACAAUCCAUCCGGGUAGUAGCAAGAUGUAUCAAGACCUGAAAGGAACAUAUUGGUGGGACAAUAUGAAGAAGGAAAUGCGCUAUACCUGCAAAAAUGUCUCGUUUGCCAACAGGUGAAAGCGGAGCAUCAAAAACCAUCGGGCUUGUUACAACCCCUUGAGAUACCUGAAUGGAAGUGGGAAAACAUCACCAUGGAUUUCGUCUCAGGUUUGCCGCGGACGCAAAGAGGGCACGAUGCCGUUUGGGUAAUCGUCGACCGGUUAACCAAAUCGGCCCACUUCCUGCCAGUGAAUAUGAAGUAUAUUCCAUGGACAAGUUGGCCCAACUGUACAUGGAGGAGAUUGUAAAGCUGCACGGUGUUCCGGUGAGCAUCGUCUCCGAUCGAGACCCACGUUUCAUAUCUCGGUUUUGGCAGAAGUUCCAGGAGACUUUAGGGACUAAACUCAAUUUAAGCACCACCUAUCACCCUCAGACGGAUGGACAAUCGGAGCGAACAAUCCAAACUCUCGAGGACAUGCUACGGACUUGCAUUCUGGAUUUUGGAGGCAACUGAGGUCAACACAUGACCUUAGUAGAGUUUGCGUACAACAACAACUACCAUUCGUCGAUUCAAAUGGCCCCAUACGAGGCACUAUAUGGACGAAAAUGUCGGUCACCGAUCUACUGGGACGAAGUUGGCAAGAAAAAGGCACUAGAUCCAACAACUAUUCCAUGGAUGGAGGAGGCGCGAGAAAAUGUCAAGUUGAUACGGCAACAACUCCAAACAGCUCAAAGCCGACAAAAGAGCUAUGCGGACAAUCGAAGGAAAGACUUGAAGUUCGAAGUUGGAGACCGUGUUUUCCUCAAGGUUACACCGUUACGGAGCGUCACGACGGGUAAAGGAAAGAAAUUACAACCGAGGUUCGUUGGACCGUACAAGAUCCUCCAGAGGGUAGGAGCGGUAGCGUAUCGAUUAGAGCUGCCGUCCAGUCUCUCUCGAAUUCACGACGUUUUCCACGUCUCAAUGCUCAAGAAAUACUAUCCCGACCCAUCCCAUAUCUUGCAACCAGAAGAGAUCGACGUAGACGAGUCCCUUGCUUACGAAGAAAAAUCUAUCCAAGUGCUUGACCGGAAAGUCAAGGAGCUGAGAAAUAAGCAGAUUCCGUUGGUUAAGAUACUGUGGAGAAAUCAUGGGGUAGAGGAAGCUACCUGGGAAGUGGAAGAAGAAAUGCGAAAGAAGUACCCUGAACUUUUCGUGAGUUAAGGUAAGAAAUUUAGAGAGCGAAAUUCUUUUAAGAGGAAGAGAGUGUGAGAACCUGUAAUUUUUCCCAUUUUCCAGGUUUUAUUAUCUUUCAUGGCUUGUUUUCUGCAUUUUCGUGAGUAGGAAAAAUUCUAGAUAUUUUAAAGGAGCAGAUAUAAUUUUUAGAUGAUUUUUCUAGUAUCAAAUAGGUUUUGAGAAAUUAAGAGCGUGUACCGGACGUGGGACCCACUAGUGCGAAAACUUCGAAAAAAUUCGACCAACUAGAUUAAAUUUUGGAUAUUGGAUGUAAUUUACCGGGUGUGAAGAGAUAAUUAGAGGAUACUAAGUGGAUUGGUAUAAGAGAGACAAGUUAGGUAAGCAUUUAAUAAAAGGUGACAAGUGUCACCAUUUGAGUGGGUUUACCUUAAGACCACUAUUCAUGGUCUUACCAAGUGACUAAAUAAAUCAAAAACUACCAAAAUUUCUCCAUUUUCUCUUCUCUUGUGGCCGGCUUUCUCUCUCAAAAAGAAAGAAAGAAACUCUUCAAGUUUUGCUUCCAUUUAGCUCAAAUCCAUCCAACCAACCAUUGAAACUUGAAAUUUCUCCAUAAAAUCUCUUCAAUUAGUGAUAGUGAGUUGAUUUGUGGGGUUAUUUGGAAAGCUAAGAGGACCUAUUGCUCCCUCUCUCUUGUUUCUAAGGUAAGUUGUGAAGAACCACAUUCCUUCCUCUAAUGAUGCUUAAUUUGUGAUUAGUGGUAGUAUAAGGUGCAAUAUUAUGGAUUACAUCUUGAUUUGUGGUUGAAUUAGUGAAAUUUUCUAUUUAUUGGUGAUUUUUCUGUUUUAAUAUGAACAUGAUUGUGUGGCUAUCUAUGAUGAUUGGAAAUGGUAUGUAAUGACUCUAGGAGGUGGAAAAAGUGAUUAAUUGCAACCAAUUUCUGUUUGGAAGAAAAAUUCACAAGUUAGGGUUUUUGUGAAGAACAUUCUGUCCGGUUUUGUAGCUCCUAGUUAGAGGCCGAAUUGGCCUUAGCUUAAAACAUGAAAGUUGUAGGGAAUGACAUUUUAGAGGUGCCUGCAAAAUUUCAAGUCAAUUGGAGUAGCGUAGCAUGAGAAAAGUCAAAAUUACCCUUGCUGUCCUGGUUUUACCCAAAUUGGAGAAUUGCGUCUGUAAUUGGCUAUUUUGGUUAGGAAUGCUUCAGAAUUGGUUGUUGUGGUCUUCUGAUGAAAUGUAUCCCUGUUUCUAAGUUUUCGGAUGGCUUUGGAAUUACUGGAUUUGGACUUCGGUAGCUUGAUUUAUGAUGUUUACGCCAGGAUGCAUUUUGUAAACCUGUUUUUGCGAUUCUGGUGUAGUCUAUGGUAUUUUUGACCUGGUUGCUAUAGGAAUUGGACUGAGUGACCUUCUACAAUAUUGUAGCCCUGUCCUUUAGCUUCAAAACAGUGGGUCUUUCACCUUCAUCCGAUAAUUAUAGUGCCAUUGGCACCAAAACCGUAAAAUGACGUCAAAAACUGUUUUCUUGGGUUAAAGCUUAUUUCCAUUUAUGGAUUUUCUGGUUUCCUGUAAUGCUUAUACAUGCUUAUGGAACCUUAUUGGGGUCGUAUUUGGCAUUGAUUUAUGACUCAUUAUCGAGUCUCAUUGUACUUGUUUGCAUGUUUUAGGGCGUGACAGGGGUUCACGACGUUCUUUUGACGGAAGUGCAUGAAACACCAUUUGCAAGCUUGGUGAGUGUACUACUCACUUGUGUGUUAAUAUAUGGCUGUGAUACUUGAACUUGGUACUUUGAAUGUUAAUUGCUUGAAGUGAAAGUGUACUUUAUCACUCUCACUUAUUGUUUAUCAUGUUAUUGGAAUGUUAUAUGAAAUGCUACAUGAAAUGAAAGUACAUGGCUUGGUGUCGUUUGGACGAGCAUCCAACGACUACAAUUGUUAUCCUUGAGUUCAACUCCAUGGGUCGUUGAUUGAAUCGAGCCGGAGAGGGCUUGGUCGUGCCAAUUAAUGUGCCUUGGGAAAGUGUUAUAUGGAAUCUUGUAGUAUGAGAGACUCUCGAUUCCGGUUUACUCGAGUAAUACCACAAUGCAAGUGUUUGGAUUUCGGGCCCGGUAGGAGAAUGUUAGGUGGAAGGAAUGGAAGUAAAGUGGAGUCUACGGUUGGUUAUUUUUGAACAUUGACGGAGAGUCAAUGACGUCCGUCAAUGACGAGGGAAAAUGGCUCUUGAGAGCCAUCCGUAUCCUUUUAUCACCACCAUUAAUGUGUGCCUUUGUUUACUUUUGGUGAAUUGAAAUGAAAAUCUUUAUGCUUAAGUGAUAGUAUCUCACUGGGCAAUUAGCUCACAUCGUUCCUUUUGUUUUCCUUACAGGAAUAUGACUCUUUUUAUGGAAUGAAUCUUGAUAGAUGGUUGCUGAAAGAACUAGAUGAAUAUCUCUUUUGUAUUGUAUAUGAAUCGAAACCCUAAAUGUACCUUUAGGGCCGUUUCACUUUUGAUUUUAGCAAACCUUACAUGUAGUAGCUCUUGUAUCACUUUUGUAUGCCAUUUUGGCUUGUAAAUGCUAAAUGUUAUGUUGUAUAUGUAUUUUGAUGUUUGAUUGGGUUCUGACGGGUCGGUUACUAUUCAGGGCCGACUCCGGAUUUCAUUUUUUUUUUGGUUAUUUUGCCCUUUUGACUUGUUUACGCGCGUUAUAAGUUCCGGAACACAAUAGAUCGCUCUAAACUGCACCGUUAGUCCUGGCGAGAGUUGGGCAGGCAGUCCGCCAACCCCUUUGGUUCGCCUUAGGGGAAGGUGGGGCUGUCACAUAGAUUAUGUUUGAUAUCGAAAUAAUUUAGUUAUUAGAAAAAUAAGGAUAUUUGUUAACCAAAGAUCAUGUUGGUUUGUUAACAAAUAUAUUAGCUAAGAUUUGCUAGUAGAAAAAGAUUAUAUUUUGUUGAGAUUUUUAGGAUAAUUAUUAGUGGGAUAUUUUGCUAGUUUGUUUCAUGUAAUCACUAUAAAUACUGAGUUGAUGAAUGUAGAACAUAAGCUCAUUUUUCACUUUCAAUACAAGUUUCUUAUAAGUUUUUUUUUUUUUUUUUUUUGCAACACUAAGGUGUUGUUUCUUAGUGUAUGCUCCAAAAAACCAACAAAAAGGAUUCAAGAGCAGCAUGAAAUCUUGGGACUCCAGCGAAACACCCCUCAUUGGAGAGUUGUUCCCAACUUUCCACAAACCCCAGCAUCAUGACAAUGAAUGACCGAUUGUAAAGGCAUUCUUCAAAUCAGGAGCUUGAAGAAGUUUUGGAACAUCAUCAGUCUUUGGUCUACGAUCCAUGAACUUACGAACUAGGGACAAAUUUUAAAGGAGCAGACAAUUUCUAAAUAUCCUCCUUGGAAAAGAGAGUUCGCUGAUUCUCCUCUAAGUGAAGCAACCUAUUUAAGGGUAACAAGUGGAGGAGUAGAAUCUGAAAACACUUCUGAAGAGGUUUUUUCUGGUGAAGGCAGAUUUGCCGGAUGGCCUCCAGUCAAUGGCUGAAGGGCCCCCAUUGAAGAAAGCUUGCUAAAAAUUCAAAAAGUAGGAUUUCCAGAUAACCAGAUGGGGAUUAGAAUCCCCCUCAACCAGAGGGGCUCCGCCAUUGAAGCACUAGAGAGGGUUUGAGAUUUGAGAAGCUAGGAGGGAGAAAGGGAUUAGAAUCUUGGACCUCAAUUUCAGUCACUAGAUCAAGAUUUCUUCAACUCAUCUCGAUCAAGAUUUUAACUAAGACUUUAAACUAAAGUAUAUUCCUUGUAUAUUUAAAGAAGAGAAAAUCAUUUAAAACGUUCCUUAUAUUUUGUAAAAUGACUUUUUUCGUCUCUCACUUUUGAAAGUGUAAUUUUACGUCCCUUACAAAUUUACAUUGAUCAAAUUUGGUCCCUACCUAGGUUUUCGAUUAGUUUUUUAUCGGAAUUCAUCACGUGCCUCGCACGUGAUUAUUUUUAAGGGUAAAAUUGUCAAAUCAAAUUUUACAUAAUUCAAUUCAUAAUCUCUCACAUUUCACAAAAUAAAUUUUUUUGUCCCUAAUAUUUUACAAAAUGAAUUGUUUCGACCCUCACAUUUCACAGAAUGAAUUUUUUCAUCCCUCAUUGAUCAUGUGCACAAUUAGUUUUUUUUUUCUUUAAACCCAUAUAUAUAUAUAUAUAUAUUUGAUUUCAUCUAAACAAUAUAAAUAGUAUGUAAUAUAUUUCAAUUUGAUUUCAUCUAAACAGGCUAUUCGUAGUUGUGCACAUGUUAUUCAAUAAAUAUAUACAGGGGUUUAAAACUAAUAAUUUUAUUUUAAACCCAUGUAUAUAUCUAUAUAAUUUCACCAUGUGUACCUAUUCAACAUUUAUGGCUUUUCUCUUUUGGUAAUAAUUUAUUUAUUGAGUUGUAUAAAAAGACCAUCUAAUUAAUAGGUUCUAAAUCGAAUUCUAUAAUUUUGCUAAUAAAUUGCAAUUUAAAUCUGAAUUUCUACUCACCACUUUUAAGAAUAACAAUUGAAUCACUUAUCUUGUGAUUGUCUUAAAAUUUGAAAGUGUCAAUCAUUUACUUCUUUUUGUCAUAGUUUUAUUUUAUUUAUUUUUUCUGUCCAAAUUUAAUUCGAUAUAAACAUGCGACAAUAUUUAGGAUUAAAUGUCUUCUUUGUUUUCAAUUUUUGAGUAAAAGGAAAUGAAUAUGAGUGAAAAACUAUCAAUUUCUUUUAAAUUCCUAUAUAUGUAUCUAUUUGAUUUCAUCUGAAUAGCAUAUAAUAUAUCUCUAUUUGAUUCGUCGGGUGAAGUCAAAUAGAGAUAUAUUAUAUGCUAUUCGUACUACUCAGGUAAAAUUCAAUAGAUAUAUACGUGGAUUUAAAAAAAAUUAUUCACAUACAUGAUCAAUGAGGGAUAAAAAAAUCCAUUUUAAAAAAUGUGAAGAAUGAAAAAAAUUCAUUUUGUGAAAUGUGAGGGAUGAAAAAAUUCAUUUUGUGAAAUGUGAGAGACUAUGAAUUGACUUAUGUAAAAUUUAAUUUGACAAUUUUGCCCUUAAAAAUGAUCAUGUGCAAGGCAUGUGAUGAAUUCCGAUCAAAAACUAGUUGGAAACUUAGGUAGGGACCAAGUUUGAUCAAUGUGAAUUUGUAAGGGAUGUAAAAUUACACCUUUAAAAGUGGGGGAUGAAAAAAGUUAUUUUGCAAAAUGUGAGGGACAUUUUGAACAAUUUUCCCUUUAAAGAAAAUGUGGAAUGGUUUUAGUCAUCUUUUUUCUCCCUUUUUGAUGCUAACAAAAAAGAAGUAGAUCAAAAAUUUUCAUCUCCCCUUUUUUUACGCUCUUAUAAAUACUAAAACAAGAGAGAGAAAAAGGAAAAGAAAUCAACUUUCCAGAAAAAAAAGAGAGGAUAAAAAAAAAGAAUCCAAUUUUCUCAUUAUUUUAAUAUCAAUCUUUGCUCCUCCACCAAUUACCUAAUUCCAACUCUGACGAAUAUAAAGUAAUGAUAAUAUUGGAUUAUUCCUUAUUUUCUCAGUUUCCAAAAUUGAAUUUUAUAUCUCCCUCUUCGAUCUCUUUCUUCUUCUUUUUUUUUUGGUUGGUAUUAAUUGAGUUAAAAGAAAAGAAAAGAAAAGCCCUUUUACUUUUAUUUUCAAGGUACUAUUAUAGUGAAAAAAAAUAACAAUUCCAAAUUUUUAAUUUUUAAGUAUAUCUAAAGGGACGGUGUUUUCGUUGAAAAAUCAUUAACACACUGAAUCGGCUUAAUAACGCUUUAAAAUACCUAAGAUAAUGUUUAGGGGUAAAUUGAUAUUAAAACUGCAGUUUAUGGGGGUAAAGUCAUAAUAACUCUAUACUUGUGCUAUGAGAGAGAAGGGUAUUUAUGUCAAAAUUUCAACAUGUUGAGUUGACUUAACUUUGAAGGUAAAGUAAUUAAAAAAAUAACAUUAUAGGUUAAGCUAAUAAUAACCCUUAGUAUAACAUUAAAAUUUAAAGUCUCAACUAUGGAAACACUACAAAAAAAGGAAACAAAAGGCAACCCAAAAAGACAUUCAAGAUUCUAUCUAUGCUUAAUUGAGUUGGACUCAAAAAAAUACAAAGGAAAGAGGAGGAAUAGUAGGGAAAAAAAAAAAAAAGAAAUCAAGAGACAUGGCUUCCUUUUGUGUUUAGAAUUUUUUUCUACUAUAAUUUGUAUCUUAUCAAUUAUUUAGACAAUUAUUUUGUUCUAAGUGCGUGCUUUAGACUUAGGGAAAUGUUUUUUACACUCUCUUUUUUGUUAUUUAGACUCCCAUUAUCAUUUUUAUUAUAUAUUUCUCAUUAAUUAGACUAUAUGAUAUAACAAAUGGUGAGAGUAUAAAUAACAAAAUAUGGAGUGCAAAUAAUAUUUUCCUAAAUUUAUUAUAUAAAUUGCCACUUUGUAAUAAUACAUGACAAAAAUAAACACACCCAGUUAUAUUAAUAAAUUGGGUAAAAAACAAAAAAACCCCCUGUGGUAACCUAAUAUAUAGAAAAGCCCCCUGUGAUUUCAAAAUAUACAACACGACACCCCGUACUUUGAACUAAAUUGUAAAGGUGACGGAAUCCGAUAAACUUAACGGAAAUGGACGAAAUGACCAAAAUGCCCUAAUAUAAUUAAGCAAAGGACAGUUCAAAAAAAUCAUUUGUUUUAUUUUCUAGAUAGAAAGAAUUGAGGAUUAAGGGGUAAAACAGAUAUAUUUGUUAAAAAUUAGGUAUAAAAAUUUUUUUUUAGAUUCCAAUAAGUCAUUUCUGUUAAGUUUAACGGAUUCCGUCACCUUUACAAUUUAGUUCAAAGUAUGGAGUUUCGUGUUGUAUAUUUUGAAACCAUGGGGGACUUUUUUGUAUAUUAAAUUUAUCACAUGGGGCUUUUUUGUAGUUUACCCUAAUAAAUUAGCUGUUAGCUAAUUUAGUAGUUCGUCACAUGGAUUUGAUUAUAAGUGAAUCAUGACUAUUUUUAUUGGUUGAUACAUAGAAUUGCUAGUUACCUAUUGGUUGAAGUUUGAUUUUGAUUUCUUUUUGAUAAAAAGUAAAUUUCAGUAAUAAAUUGCUAGAAACCAUUCAGCAUGAUUUGAUUUAUGUCACUGUCCUAAUUCCAGGUAAAAUAUGCACUAUAACAAGUACAAUAGAUCUAAAAAACUAUGAACAAAUAAAAAACAAGAAAUUUUAAAAUUAUUUUCUAAUAAGAAAAAUUGCUCAGCAUCUUUCUGUGCAUGUUAUAAUAGUUAGAUAUACUAAUCAAUGGUUUUAAACUCUAAUAAUGAAAAUAAGAUUUGUCGAGAAAGACCCAAAUUUCAAAAAAAAAAAAAUCCAUCCUAGAGCUAGUUAGAAAUAGAAUUGAGAUCUAAAAAACUUCUUGAUCUUGACAACCAGACUUGAAUUUAAUAAUAACUAAAUGGGGGAAAAAACAAUACAAAAAUCUCAUCAGGAACUCCUAGAAAAAUAGAAUAUUCUCAUUAGGAACCCUUAAGAGAAACAAAGAAUAUUUUGAUUUUAUUAUGCUUUAUUUGCUAGAAUAUUGUUAUAUAUAUUUAAUUAUUUGUGCCCCCUCAGCUGUCGCGCCCCAUUUUUUCGCGAUGGCGAAAUAGAAUAAAGGUGAUUUAUAAAAGAUGUAAUUUUACUUAAAAAUAAGUGAAAAAAGGACCAAGGAUGGGACUUUAAAAAAAUGCGACAAUUUGGGUCCAAAAAUUUGGUCUAAAAGGGGUUUUUAAGAAAAAAAGGAGUCGCCACUUGGUAUUGAGUUUGGGUGUACCAAGUCACCCCAAAAAUAUAUAUUUUUGUUGAGAGAAAUAAAAUAACAAAAAACCCUUUUUGACAACUCCAGAUCUUUGAAAAACAAGAGAAAAUGGGUUCGAGAAUCAUGGUUGAAGAAAGGGAAGGCAAAGGUUCGAUUAACUCAAACCUUAGGCACCCUUUCAACCUAGUCUAAACUAGUUGCGAGGUUUAGUCAAAAUUUUCCUAAUCUAACCCUUAAUUUUAUCUUAUUUGGAUGUUUCCUAUGUGGAUGCAAAUCUAAAUUUAUAAAAUAUCGAAAGGGACAAAAUAUCCAUUCAAGGGUUUAAUCGAACCAAUCGCAUUAAUUGCGAAAGCCAAAAUGAUUCCUUGAAAGUAUCACGAGUAUGCGAAUGAUGAAAUUAAAAUAAAAUAAAAUAAAAUAAAUUAUAUACAUAUAUAUAAGUGAUCAAAGAAAAAGGGAAUACAACAUAAAGGGUACGGGAGGCAAAAACUUGUGACAUAAUUUUCUUAUACAUGGAUUAAUAGGGUAUUUAAACUAAAAAUUUAUAAUCACUCAUUUCCCAUGUUUGAAAAAUAAUUAUCCUAACAUGAACAAGCAAAUGAACUAGCUUAAAUGAGAUGCAAUUCUAAAUGACAUGAUUAGCACCUAUAGAGGGUAGGGGAUAAUAUAAUAGGGAAUAUCAUGCAAAUGAGAAAAGAUCUUAAAAAUAAAAAUAUGCAUGAAAAUGUAGUGAAUAACACACAAAGAUGAAUCUAGCGCAAGACGAUCUAAAAGGUCUAGCAUUGGACUAGUCCAUUUCUAAAAAUUCUUGCUAGCGUUGGACUAGCAAGUAAGCGGAGGGAGAAACCACAACUAGCGUUGGACUAGUGUGGUGACGUCAAGCAUUAAUAAUUCAUAGUGAAACAAAUAAAGAAUAAAUUAAAACAAAUAAACACAUAAGAGCACGUAGCACAUAACACGUAAACAUAAUAUCUAGAUGCCAAAAUCCUAAGAAAAACGGAUAAAACACAUAACACAUAAGCCACAUAAACAUGCAACCUAUCUAUUACAUCGGGGAAUCUAACUACAAUCUAAAAUGGGAAAAUAAAAUAAAAAAAAAUAGUUAUCCUAUCUAUUACAUUUUUGAGAUAUUUAAAUGACUCUCGAAUAAUUAUAAAAAUUGACUAAACAAAUAUAAUAUAAGAAAAUUUAAAUGAACAUUUAAAUCCAAUAAAUAAAGCAUAUAAAAAUAUAUAAACACAUAGGAACACAUAGGAGCACAUAAGAGCACGGAAUUGACAUUGAAAUAAUAAAAAUAGGAGUACCUUCCAUUUGAAGUGGUGACUAAAUGGAGUCAAAUUGUCCUAUUUAUACUCACAAUGAACAAAAGAAUCAUGGCACCAAUUUAAUUGAAAAAAAAUAAUAAUAAAAGUACUAAAUUCACACUAAUAUGUCAAACGUAAAGAAAUUUAAGAAAAUCUAAAAAUUACAAGUUAAGUAUAUUCAAAAGUAGCAUAAUUAGCUAUUAAAGAAAAGAAACAAUCAUAAUAAAGAGAGUCAAAAUUCAUCAGGGACUGAAUUGCAAAAAAUGAAAAACUUUUGGGGAUAACAAUUAUAUUUUUCCAAAGUUUAGAGGUCAAAAUUAAAUAAAAAAUAAAAUUCAGGGACAAAGUACAAUUAAUUUAAGGACCUACAUGAAAGAAAUUUAAAAUGUUCUGAGCCGUAGUGAAACUACUCCAAAGAUCAGGGGCUAAAGUGCAAAUUCGCUAGCAGAUCUUCUUAAGAAAACAGGUCCCUGAGCCAUCAUUUUAUUUCUUUAGGCCGAACACUACCUAAGCCCAGCCGAAAGUCCAAGCCAGAACACACAGGCCAGCCGGCCUUCUAUCACUCAAACCCAACAAAAAAUAAAGCAUGGGUCUGACCUUCUAGCCCAACCGAAACUAAGAAACAAGCCCACUAAAAAAAAAAAAAAAAAAAUAGCCCAAACCACUUUCCCUUUUCUUUUCUUUCCUUUCUUUUCUUUUUUUUCUUUUCUUUUCUUUUCUUUCUUUCUUCUUCCUCCACUUCCAGCCGUUUCCUUCCCUUCUUCUGCUGAAGAAGCUUCAGCUGGCGGCCAUGGCGGCCGCCGGCGGUACCACCGCCGGACCGCUGGGCGCCGGCGACCUCUCCGAUCGCCAAAAUUUCUCAAAAUACACCUCCACACUCCAUUUUUCGCGUAGAUUCCAUUUCCGGAUUUAGUUUUUACAAAAGAUUAUCCGAAAGUGGCCAAAAUGUCAAAAUACAGUCCAGUUUUUAUUUUUUUAAAACACCCAAAUCUUCACCAAAAAAUAUAAAAUUUAUACUACAACACUCCUUGUGAUUUUUACAACCUAACUAUCAACUAAAAUCAAUAAAAGUAACAACAGAUAUGACAAAAUUAAACCAAAACAGUCCGAAAAAUAACAAAAAUCCUUCAAAACUUUUAACACUCAAAACUCCAAAAUUUUUUUGAAUAACCACACAUUUUCAGACCUACACUAGCAAACGGUCACCUAUUUGACAAGAAAAACAUGUACAAUGUUAAACUUUUUAAUUCGUUUGUUAUUUUGGCAUUUUUUCAAACGGUUAAUAUGCAUGCAUGAGAAACAUUUCCUUUUCCUUCAUCUUGUUCAUGCCAUUUCCCAAAUUUCAGCAAUGCAACAACAACAAUAAAAACCAGCAAACAAGAGAAAUUAAUAUACAACCACAACAAUAAUUAAAAAAAAAAAACAGCAAAAGCAAGAGAAAUUAGACAUUGGAACAUGGAUUGUAAUAUGAUAGAAAGAAAACUAGAAAAUACCUCAAUGUAGGUGGUAGUUCCUUGACCAAAAUGUUUGAUACAAUUUCCACACCUUGAGCGUAUCUCCCUGGCUCCCAAAGUUUCUUUCGUCUUGCCUUUUCUGUCCGUUGAGAGCUUAAGGAAGCCAAAAUGGGGAGCUUUGUUCUUGUGUGUUUUCUGGUGGGAGUCAAAGAAAGGGCCGAGAGAUGUAUAUUGAGAGGGAGGAAGAGUGGAGUGUUUUGUGUGUGGUCUAUUGAGAGAGAGCCGAGAGCCGAGAGCCGAGAGUUGUCUGGGAGCUAGAGUACUUUUUUUUUUCUUGUCUGUUCCGUUUUUUAGCCCCGAGAGAGCCGAGAGAGUGAGUAUUGGGAGAGAAAAAGAGGAGUUUGUGUGUUGGAUUUACCAAAAUGAUGAUUUCUUAGCUAAUGAAAAGAAAGGUGCAUGGUCAUUGACUGUGGAAUGGGUUAAUAGUUGUUUUGGUAGGGAAAAUGAUUGUGAUGAUUUUUUUUAUUUUCUCUUCUCUCUUUUUUUUUGCUUAUGUUUUUUUUUUGUUUGUGUGUUUUUUUUUCCAAACAAACUUGCAAAAAAUAAGAACAAUGCACAUUAAAAUGUAAGAAAAUAAAUAAAUUACUAAAUAGAAAAAAUUCAAGAAAAUGUUAAAAUUUUGACAAAAUUUUGGUGUCUACAUCAGCCUUGCUUGGGUUGCGAUUUUUUGCAAAAAUUUUUACCUUUUUUGUGAAUACAUUUUUAAAUUAUUUUUAUCUUGCAUAUAUCAAAUUGCUAUACUACAUUUUUCCACAAAACUCUUAAAAAAUAGAUUUUGGUCUUUCAUCGGGAGCGCCAUAGAUUGAUCUACACAACAUGGCUUUCUUCAGUUCAAGCCUCAUCGAGGGAUAUAAACGAGUCGAAUCGAGUCGAGUUUCGGCCUAAUCGAUCCGAGUCUCAACAUAAUUUUACGAAACUCGAACUCGAUCUCGAGGUCAACAACUUCAAAAUGUCAAGUUCGAACUCAAGCUCGAUCUUAAAAAAAUUUUAAAAAUAAUUAAUUUAUUUUUAAAAAAUAAAUAAAAUAAUACUUUUUUAAUAAAGGGAUAAUUUCAGAAACCUCCCCUGAGGUUUCUGACACUUUCACUGACAUCCCCUGAGGUUCUCAAAAUUUCACUUACCUCCCUUGCUUUUGAUUUUGUGGUAACAAUCCAGUCCAAAUCAGAUUAAAAUAUUAUUUUCAUGUGUGAGAAGGUAUUUUUAUUCCAUAGCUACCCUUUGCAGAAGUUGUAUUAGUAGAAGAUUCAAAGAAGAAUAAAUGAUUUGGACUAAUUAGUAAAGUUGAGGGGGGGUAAGUGCAAUACAAAAAAUUGCAUGCACCAAAUGUGCCAUGCAACAGUUAUUUGGCAGAUUUUGCAACGGCUAGCUGCAAAUUGCAACGGCCAGAAGGUUUGCUGUUUCAGUAGCAAUAGCAUAUAAAGCAAAGCAACUUAACUACCUCUGAGGUUUCAAGCUAUUAACAUUCUUUGCUACUAAUUUGGAGUGAUAACAAGUGCAUUUGCUGUGCUACAAUUAGAGCUCUGAGUAAAAAGUUUUAGCUGCAACCAUGGCCUCUUCAAGCCAUAGGGGAGAAUCAUGGAAUUCACCUACAUCUUUCUCCAUUAAAAACAGGUUUUGCCGCUGUAAUCGCAAAGCAACCGUAAUGAUAUCAGAGAGUGAAAGAAAUCCAGACAAGUUGUAUUUCUAUUGAGAAAUUUCCAACUUUGUGAUGAAUUUUAAAAAAAUUCUACAAAAGGGGUGAUUUUGGGUUUAAUUUCCGUCAGGGGGGUCUUCGCAUUUGUGAAUUUCACAAAUGCGAGCUUACAAGAGCUCGCAUUCGUGGAAUGCGAGCUCUGGUUAUUGAGCUCGCAUUCCACGAAUGCGAGCUCUUCUCAAUUUUUUUUUUCCUUUUUUAAGAGCUAGGGAAUUAUUUCUAGGAAGCAAAUGCGAGCUCUUAUCUUUUUUAUUUUGGUAUUUUUUGAGAGGUAGGGAAUUAUUUGCAGAAAGCUUCUAAUUUUUGUUUUAAAAAAUGUUGCAAAUAUUUAAAAUUUUGCAAAUAGCUCGCAUUUGUUAAAUUUGACCUGCAAAAAUUGUAUUUAACUUUUUUGUUAGAUUUCGCAUUUAUAAGUAUGACUUGUAGAAAAUUAGAUUCAAAUUUAGAUGUAUUAGGGUUUUAAAAAUAUUAUAUAAGUGAUAAAAAUUUUAUAAAUUGUAAAAAUAAAAUCAAACUGCUUGGAUAAUUAAAUGUUAUAUUUGCAUAAGAAAUAAUACAAUAAUCAUAAUAAUGAUAAUACAAUAAUAUUGGUGUAAUAAAACUGCCAUUAAUUUAAAUAUUUACUUAUAAUGCCCAAAGAGCCUAAUUACCAAUUUUUUCUUCUCGCGCUCAAAUAUAACAUUAACCCGCAUGCGAGCUAACCUUGAAAUAGAAAAAACACAGAAUCCCGCUUGCGGGUUUCAGGAGUAUUCGGAUAUUCUCAUAUGCACCUAUGCAAAUCGAACCAACCGGAUAUCUUAUCCGUAUCCCAUUUUUUUAAAUAAAAAUCUUAUAAAUUUGAAAAAUAAAAUCAAAUUUAGAUGUAUUAGGGUUUUAAAAAUAUUAUAUAAGUGAUAAAAAUUUUAUAAAUUGUAAAAAUAAAAUCAAACUGCUUGGAUAAUUAAAUGUUAUAUUUGCAUAAGAAAUAAUACAAUAAUCAUAAUAAUGAUAAUACAAUAAUAUUGGUGUAAUAAAACUGCCAUUAAUUUAAAUAUUUACUUAUAAUGCUCAAAGAGCCUAAUUACCAAUUUUUUCUUCUCGCGCUCAAAUAUAACAUUAACCCGCAUGCGAGCUAACCUUGAAAUAGAAAAAACACAGAAUCCCGCUUGCGGGUUUCAACGUUAUUCUGCGCUUCGUGUGUUUGCUUUUGUUUUGCUUUUGUCUUUUUUUUUUCGAAAUGGAGGGUUGGCGGUGGAGCUUAGUAACAAUUAAUUCUUCACUUUGUUGCCGCUACUCCAGUGCAUAUUAGGACCACUGGUUUGAUCACAAUUUCCUUUCCAUUUUUGUUCUUGUUAUUUCCUCUGUUUCUUUUCCUAUAUCCAGAAUGUCGUAUAAGACCACAUAUAAGUGAUCUUAUAUGUGAUCUUGUUAUUUCCUCUUGUCAAAUCACACCAGGCACAAAAAAUGGCGCCAAUAUUGCAGCUCAAUUGGCGCCUUACUCCCAAAAUGACUGGAUUAAUUCAUGUAUCAGGAAUCAAGUUUCUAUUAUUGUUGUUAAGCUUAAUUAAUCAUAUCAGAUGCCAUUAUGUAACUAAACGGUAGUAAUUAACCCCAACUACUUGGGAUAUAUCUGUAAUUUUGGCCCUGAUGACGUCAGAAAAGGGGCCCAAUUUUUUAUCAAGGGAGGUAAGUGAAAUUUUGAGAACCUCAGGGGAUGUCAGUGAAAGUGUCAGAAACCUCAGGGGAGGUUUCUGAAAUUAUCCCUUUAAUAAAUAAUAAAAUAUUAGGGAUAUAUAUGUAAUUUUACUAUUAAAAUAAAUAAAUAUAUAUAUAUAUAUAAUCGAGAUCGAGUCGACUUGCGAGCCAAUGAGUUUAAUAUUUUUGAACUCGAAUUCGAGUUCAAGUUUGACUUGAUCAGCUCGAACUCGAUAUUGAUCGAACUAGAGUCGAGCUCAGAUUCAAUUGCGAGUGGCUUAAUUCAUUUGCAGCCUAGCCUCACCCACGAGUAUGCCAGGCCAGGGUGACUGAUUAUUUUGAUUUCGGUUUUCGAUUUUGAAUCAUGGUCUAGUAAUGAAGAGGGGUUGAACCAUCUUUCCAUAGAAAAAAUGGACUAAUCAAUACAACAUCGUGUGCACUUUUUUUUAUACGCUAACAGGUCUAAGGAUAUAAAAUAUAAUCUGCAUUCAAAUUUCAUAUUAUACUUGAGAUCGGUUUUGUUUUUUUAAUGAUCUUUAUACUGAAUAGGAGAUUAACCCAACAAAAACAUUGUUUGACAAUAAAAAAGAGAGAUUAUUUCAAGAUAGAUCAAACAAGUUGUCAGAACAAGUACACGUUGUUACAACAGUUACAAUUCAACCAGACUGAAAUUAACAAAUCCACCAGAAGAUUAUCAGAUGAUUGGCACCAGAAAAUGAUCGAGUGAUUUAUUUAUUUUUGGUUGGAUAUGAAGCCAUUUUGUUGAUGCCACAAAGUCCUUCUGGCUUCCCUGUGUUUCUUUUCAUCCUUAUGUAUCCCUUCUCUCCCCACUUUGAACCCCACGAGUUCUUCACAAUGAUGUAAUCGAGACCCUUUGUUGAACCAUAUCCCACAGCCGCCACGCCAUGAUCAACUUGAGUUCCACAAUGCCCGUCAAAUACACCCUAUACCAAAUUGCUAUGGAUCUUAGAGCCUUUAAAGUGAAUGAAAACUAGGAUAAUUAACACACUUAAUGUAGUCAAUGAACCAAAUGAUCAGCCCUAAGUAAACUCUAUGCAUUUUUAUCAUAAAAAAUUGAUAAUCAGACAUGUAAUGGGGAGAUUAUAACUUAAUAGGAUUAUAAUGGCAUCGCAGACAAUUUUUAUACAUUGGUAUAAAACUCUUUCAAUUAUUAUUUUUUAUCACACGAGAUUUUAUGCAUUUCGUGGAAGUGUCUAAAUUUAGGACAAGAAUUAAUGAUUAAGAAUAGUUUUCCAUUUUGAAACUCAACAUUCAUAUUUUCCAACUUAAUAAUGAUGGGAUUGUUAGUUACUCAAAAGUUCGGAUGAUUCACACUUAGGCUAGACCAUGGUUUUGUUUUCUUUUUCUUUUUUCGCCCAACAUCUAGGUUAAGACCUUAUUGACACCGUCAAAAAUGUGGAUCUGUUUUUAAGGGCUAUUGGUAAAAAGACAAAAGAGUGGAAAAUGGCAGAAAACCAACAAGUUGCAUACCCCACUAUAGAACUGGAAAUCUCUCCCAGAAGCCUCAAUAGCUAUGCUUAGGGGCUGGUGUGCAAGUGCUUUAAGAAGACUCUGCUCACUGUUCUGGGGAACAUCAUGGUAACCACUGAUUUGGACCAGCUCUGAUUCAUCCUGAGACAUCACAAGUACAAAAAUGGAGAAAAUAAGAAAAACAAAGGGAUUCAGAGAUGGUAAUACUCAGUUGUCAACUGUCAUUUUACCCUCUUCUCAUCACAAGUGCCUUCCUCCAUAAGGUAAGGGUAGUCUUCCUCUCUGUGAAGUCCACCAUUGGAGGCUAUGAAGGCAAAUGCAUAGUCCAUAAGACCUCCAUUGCAGCCAUUAUUGUAUGUAGUGUCACAGUCAAUGAGCUCUUGCUCAGAUAAUGAAGUCAAAUUUCCAGUAACAAUUUGGUUUAUGCCCUCAACUGCAGCUACUGUGGAGAAUGCCCAACAACUUCCUGCACAUUGACAAACAUAUGUCAAGCAAAAAAUUGGCUUAUUAUCACGCUGUGAAUCAGUGCCAUCAGUCAUUGAUAAUCUUACUAGAGAGUGGGCAGUGUUUGAGAAUUGGGAGUUACGACCGUUUCUUAAUGACAGUUUAAGUCUUACGAGAUUUUUGGAGGCUAAUUUCCAAUCUUGUUAAUCAUAAUUUAUUUGCAGAAAAUAUGCUUUUCAAACCAAAAAGAAAGUGAAUUUCAAUGUAUUAUAAGGAAAUUUUUUUUGAAAUAUAAUUUAUAGAUUUUUAUCCAAAAAAAAGAAAAGAAAAAAGCCUGUAUGAAUUAUUAAAUUGUGUUGCAUACCACAUGAUCCUUGGUUCUUGACAGGUGUGACAGCUCCUUUCUUUCUCCAGUCCACUGACUUUGGAAUGUCCAUAACAUUUCCGUACGUAAAUUCUUCUUCCGGCGAUUGUCUCUUAGUAGCCAACUCACCAUUCAAUCCAAGAUACAUCUUUUUAAAUUCUUCAUGACUCAAAUCAGCAAACUCAUUCAAGCCAAGCCAGUAGUUGGCAAUGUCUUUGUUCCUCUCAUCAAUAUGCUUCAAAUUAUCUUUGAAAAUCUCGAACCUGUGCAACUUCUCUUCGAUGCUUUCGUAGAUUUUUCCGUGUUUUUGGAUCCAUGACUCGAAUAGAUUGAUGAGCUUGUCAAUGCAAGUUAAAUCAUCCGGUGUAUAGCCAACGAUCGAGAAAUCGCGACAAAAUGUGGUACUAGCUAAGAAUGACAAAGAAAAUAAAAGAAUUAUCAACUUAGCAUAUGAGGCGAAAGCCAUAGUUGCUUUGAGAGUUAAAAGUAAGAUUAUUUUGAUGUUGUGAAGAUGGGAAUGAGAGAUGAGAAUUGGGCAUACUUUAUACAAGUUUGAAUGGUUUUCAUGUGUUGCUUUCAAGUAAAGCUGGCAUAGUAUUCUAUGUUUUACAGAAUACUGAAACUUCAAGCUUGGUUCUGUUGGAAGGCUUUGAAUCAAAGCAUGUCUAUAUGACCCGUAACAGGUAGGUGAUUUCCAAUGUCCUCAUUUUGAAACAUCUGACAUCAUCUAAGAUGUUUUGGCUGCGUCAUGGCAAAGAUCUGGGGUCUAAUCAAUUGAUGAAUCAACUUGGAAAACGGCAUUGCUAUACUACUUGAAACAUCAAACACCAAAUCCCAAAGCCAAUAGUAUGGAAUAUGGAGCAUCUUCCUCUUUGUUUUUAUCACUUGAUUCGUUUAGUUGUAGUCUAAUUUUAUUUCUUUUUCCUUUGGAAAAUUUGCUAGAAAGAGAUGUACCAAUGAGCAGCAGGGCCAAAUUUAUGGAACGAUUGACAAAGUGUGAAUAUUUUUGGCAUAUUAAUGCCUCAUUUUGCCAGUUUAGGCAUUGUAUAUCCCGGAAAACAUCACCGCACAUUUCAAAAUAUGUGUUUCUGAAAAAUUUCGCACGAUUAUAAUGUUCCUGAACUAUAGUUAUAACAACUAAUAAUCAUACAAUUAGGUUUGAAAAUGAGUCUAACUAAGUGGAACAAUUAAAUUUUGAAAUUGCUUUAAUUACUUGAACUAGGUUGAAUUAAGGUUUGACAGCUUGUUUAUAUGUUAAAAAAAAACCAAAUAAAGUUUUAUUAGAGUGAACUCAAUUAGUACCUUAGAUUUUUUUAUAUAGAAAAUUUAUACUCACGGGCCCAAUUAAUUAGAGGUUAACGAAAGGUUUGAAAGUUGAGGACUUGAAUUUUACUCGGAUUAAUUAAAUGAGGAACUAAAAUUCAAACGAACUUUCACAGAGUCAAAAUCAAUUUGAUUGUUCCUUAUCAGCUUUAUAUGCAAAUCCUCAAUUGUUAUUUGCAACAUUGGUUUAGAAAACUUGUGUUCUUUUGUUCGACCGAACCCCCCGCCCCCCUCCGCUCCGCGGGCGGAGCGCAUCAAUGCAUUAGAAAGCUUACAUCUGAAUAAAUAAUUGAAAAUUUUUUGCUGCACCAUAUGCAUUUGGGACCUUUCCAUUGAAGUAGCUCCGAAACUUUUAAGGCUAGUGUUCUCUAGCCAAAUAUCAAGGUUUGAUUUGUAAAUUUGGCCAAAGUCGGAGGAAAGGUGAAAGUAGAUUGCCUCUUAUAAAGUACAUUUUGUAUAUGUUGACAAUUCACCUACUAUUUACAUCUUAAUAAGCUGAUGGUGUCGGCAUCAAAAUAAUUGGCCUUUCCUAAAAUUCAAUAAAACAACAAUGAAGUACAUUUUGUAUCUUAGAUCGUAUCACUCAAAACAUCUUAUAAAACAAAACUAUAAGUAGUUUAUAGAUUUUAGUGAUACUACAAUCUUAUGCUUUAUUACAUAACAUGGAUAAACAUGUAUUUUUGUCCUUGUGAACUACAAGUUUAAAUUAUUAUUUCUUCGUGCCAUAAUUCUUGAUUUAAUUUUUUUUUCUUAAAUUUAGAAAGCAGAGAGAGACGACACAUGAUGAAAGUAGAGUUUUGAUUAGAAUCCAGAACCUCUAUGUUCUAGAGCCAUGUUAGUCAUACAAUACAUCGAUACAUGAUGAAAGUAGAGCUUUGAUUUAUUUACAGAAUUAUAGAAACAUUUUGUAGGAGAAAUUAAAAUUAGCUUAAAUAUUAUGUAGCCUAUUAACUAUUCAUAAAAUUUUACAAAAUUCAUCUUCUGGAGAUCCAUCACAUAAAUAAAACAUGGAAAAUAUAGUACUCAAUUCCAAAACAGUAGUUAAAAGUAUCCUAAGCUUUAUAAGAGGACACUUUUUUAAGUGCAAGCAAGGGUCUCGAAUUUGAGACCUCUCACCUACUCUCCCCGUACCACCUAAUCCCCUCCCCCCCCCCCCCUUUUUUCUUCUCUCCAAAAAAAAAAAAAUAGAGUGCCAAAAACAUUGACAUUAUAUAGAUUGUCAUAAAUCUCUGAUUCGAAAGAACGAGUAUUGACCACUACAGAAUACAACAUCUAGUACUAAGGAAAUAUGACUACAUUACGUACAGCCAAAUAAUUAUGCUCUCUGCAAUAUGCUGAAAGUUUAGCUCCUAAAGGUAAAUUUAGCCAGCUCAUUCAAUUUCACUUCUACAUUAGUGAACACUUGCAUGAGGGUGAUGCAUCAGUUGUAUAAAGAGG